This 66401-nucleotide long non-coding RNA is filed under the name Brachypodium distachyon (stiff brome). RNAcentral describes it as "long non-coding RNA (BDIS_LNC002940)". The stretch from base 32114 to 32315 matches the Rfam family "MIR1435 microRNA precursor family". The record is from RNAcentral. Lineage: Eukaryota; Viridiplantae; Streptophyta; Magnoliopsida; Poales; Poaceae.
AACCACAUGUUAUAUAUCAGGCUUACAACAAUGCUUCGCGCACACAUUCUAACUUUUAUUUUCUUUAAAGAAAAUGACUUAUCAAUAUAUGCAUGCAUGUGUUGUAUUCUCAAGCUUUGCUACCCCAACGUCUGUCUAUAUCUAAAAUAACACCAUAUUCAUCUGAAAUUCUGAUUCCACGGUGCUGCUUUACACGUAGGUUGCCAGAAGUAUAAUUCUUGGUCUAGAAUGGCCUUCCUUCGGUAAGGAUCAGCACAGAUAAACCACUGGUUCUGGUUCAGACCAAAUUGAAUGCAGACAUUCAUUUUACAUUUUUUUUUGACUGAAAGCUGUAGGAAAGAUUCAGACAGCAGAUAUAUAUAAAUUAAAAACAAAUAUUUACAAAAGGUUACAAGGAAGCGAGGGGGGGGGGGGGGGGAGGGAAAGGAAAAGGAAAGGAAAAAGCCCCUUAAGGCACAAAGGAGACCGAGACUAGCCAAUCUAACAAGGCAGAUUUAACAUCAGAGGAGAGACGAGCACUCUGACGAAGGAGAUUCUUUUUACAUCAUAAGCAACAUAUUAUUGGUUUAAAUGUAUUUGGAAUAUUUGUAGAUGCUGGAUACAGAGAGGGACACUAGAAUGUAUUCUGUUUAUUUGCUUGAUAUUUAUGUGCAAAAGCUCACAACAAAAUAAUGUUCACAAACUUCGCCCAUAUAUGUUGCUUGCAUUCAGACCUGAGUUUAACCCAUGUAGUUCUACAGAAGUUAAUACAUAAAAUUCUCUCUUGUUUUUACCUUCUCUAUGCUAUGAUUUUCAGAGACUAACCUGAUGAGACGUAUGUAAACAGGAAGAAGAUGGGAAGGAAAUGACCAAGGUUCUGCAUCGGUAUACUGCUGACAAACAAUCUUCCUUUGGAGAGCUAGCACUGAUGUGAGAUAUUUUUGCUCAUAUGUGAUUUACUAUACACUAUCACUAUGAUCAUGAAAGAAGUUAUUUUAACUUUUAAUGUGAAGAUCUCUCUUAUAGUUAAUCAACAGAAAUGUGCCUACUAGUAGUAUAGCAGAACUACAAACAAGAGUGUAAUUAAGAAGAUUAGGUGCUCAUAUAUUUCAGAGGACCAAAGAGCCAUGUCCGCUCCUGUUACUGUUAACACGUAUGUGCGUGCGAGGUGGUCAAUAGUAGUCAGCUCUCAGGAUCACGCUGUACUUAUCAGUCAGCAUAUAAUUGUGCUUUUCCUAUCCGCACCUAAAAAGGGAAUCUUAGAUCUGCUCUAAACCAUGGGUUCUCUCUAUCUCCAAGAACAUGCUACAUUAAGUGUGAAAACUGAAAGCUAAUGCAUUGCCUAUGACAAGUGUGUUGCAUUGUAUUCAAAAUAAAUCACUAUAACAUGUGUGGUCCAUUUUGUCUCUUCCAAAUACUAAUUCUGAAAUGACUGGGAAAUUUUACCUAGAAACUAAAGUUCAGGUUCCAUGUAUAUGGCACCUUUCACGAGUAUUCAUGUUCUUGCUUGUGCAUUAUCAUACCUUGUUAUUCUAGUUUCAACCUUGACUGCGCCGUGGUGAUAACAUAGCAACUUUCCUGAAAAACAGGAGAUGACAUAAAUGUAUUUUCAUAGACUGUUAAUGCGGCUAUGGGCCUUCGACUAACUAACACAGGAAACAUAAUAUUGUUUUUUAUAAUCUGAAACGUGAACGGGCCCCUAGUGUAAUGGUUAGGUGGCUCUAGUAGCCCUCCUUAGUUUCCUGAGUUUGACUCCUUGUGGGAGCGAAUUUCAGGCCGGGGUUAAAAAAUCCCCUCAUCUGUCCGUGUUUCUAAACAUGCGUUUUUUUUUUCUGAAAAGAUCAAGCAUAGCAAGUCUAUGCAUCUAAGCGUCUAGUACACUGCCAGCCAGCCCGGUUGAAGAUAUCCUGAGAGACCGUUUCCAGCCGGUUGCAUCCAAUAGCCAAAGGGUCAACCUGCGUGAGAAGGUCUUUUUCUUAAUGCAAAUUCCUGGGGGUGGCUUACCCCUUGCAGGUCGAGCUUUUUAUAAUCUGAAACAUACCGUUCCAUGACUUGGAAAUAUAUGACCAGAUACAAUAUGAAUCUCUCCACUGCCUUGCAGGCAUGGCGAUGAUGGAAUAAGAUGAUCAAACCCAGAUGGAUAUAGGUAGCAGUCAUUAUUAGUGCAUCUAAUCACCGUUUAUUAUUGAUAAACAGGUACAACAAGCCACUUCAGUCUUCAGUUCGUGCCGUGACUAGUGGAACAUUAUGGGCUCUAAAGCGGGAGGAUUUCAGGGGAAUUCUGAUGUCAGAGUUUUCGAACAUAUCAUCAUUGAAGCUGCUCCGGUCUGUAGAGCUGUUUACAAAAUUGACAGUGGUUCAGCUAAGUCAACUUGCCGAAUCACUUGUUGAGGUAUCCUUCGCAGACGGACAAGUAAUAGUAGAAAAGGUAUAUGGAGUGCUAUGUCUGCAAAUUUAUGGGCCUCUUGCUCAGUUCUCUAUUGUAACUCUUGUCAACCUUCUUCCAGGAUGAUGAAGUCUCUAACCUGUAUAUUAUUCAAAGAGGUCGUGUGAGACUUAUAGUAGCAGCUGAUCAGUUAAAUUCAGAUGCUUGGGAUCUUCUUAGUGCUCACACCAAGCAGGUCCAACAAAGUCAAGAAAAUGGCAAUUAUGUGGUUGAGAUAGAUGAGGGAGGUCACUUUGGAGAGUGGACUCUCAUUGGAGAGACUAUCGCAUUUACCGCUAUCUCAGUUGGUGAUGUGAUUUGUUCUACUAUUGCAAAGGAGAAGUUUGAUUUAACUGUUGGGUCUUUGCCUAAACUUUCACAGCCUGAUUCCAAGUACUGUAUCUGGAACAUCUUUUCCAUAGUUAGCCCAUGAUAUAUUCACUGAGAUAAUCCUGUUAUAACAUCCAUGCAGGCUUAAAGAUUCUCUUAUCCCAAAGGAGCAUCAGCAUAGUGCAGAGGAGGAUUUUUCCUUUCGGCGGGUUCAUCUAUCUGAUUUGGUAGGGGGUUAGUACUUCAGUUCCUUUUUCUCUAGCGUGCCUCUUUUUCUAUCAGGAGAAAGAUUUGCUGAGGUAUACUGAUGCAUGGUCCAAUGCAUGUUCACAGGAAUGGAAGACGUGCAUAUAUGCCGCUGAUUGCAGUGAGAUCGGCCUCGUCCAAGUUAGAGGCUCCGGUAUGAUAACGGAUUCAGCCUGAUUUGUCUUUGUUACCGGAUUUGUCAAUUUUCGACCAGCCAUACUUGUGUUUCAGCUAAUAGUGUUUUGUUUCUUCUAACCAUUGACCAGACAAGAUUAAAAGCUUCAAAAGAUUUUAUAUCAAGAGAGUAAAAGAUCUCCGUAAGGAGGCACAGGUCUUUCAGGAGAAAGACAUCAUGAAAAGUUUGAGCCAAACUGCAUGUGUGCCAGAAGUUUUAUGUACUUGUGCUGACCAAUCAUACCUUGGAAUACUGCUGAAUUGUUGCCUUUGUUGCUCACUGGCUUCAAUACUUAGUACACCACUAAGUGAGUCAUCUGCACGAUUCUAUGCAGCUUCAGUUGUUGUUUCUCUAGAAGAACUUCACCAGGUAACUCAAUUUUUCCUAACCGAGAGAUUGAACAAAAUUUGUAUAUCUGGAUUUAUGUUAUGAGCUAACCAACACUAUGCAUAUAAUUAUGUGAAUUAUUUCAGAGGUGUAUUCUUUACAGAGGUGUUUCAGCAGACAUUCUUAUGCUUGACAGAUCGGGACAUCUGCAGGUCAUUAUCUGACUUUGAUGUGAUCUCUUAUUCUGCCGAGGCCUAAGGCAUUAAAAUCAUCAGUUGCUUUUUACGAACCAUGUUCAUGUUGUAUAACUAACAAGCAUUUUUUUGGAGGAAUGUAGAACUACUAAACAUGUCCAUCCAGCACUGAACCAUAGCAUAUGUAUAACCCUUCUUCCACAUCAUCGUAAUUCUAAUAAUACAAAUGUAUUUGUGUAUGACAGAUAGUUGACUUUAGGUUUGCAAAGAAGUUGGAAGGUGAAAGGACAUACACAGUAUGUGGCAUUGCUGACUCGCUAGCUCCAGAAAUCGUUCUUGGCAAGGGCCAUGGAUUUGCUGCUGACUGGUACAUGAUUAUCUACCACUUUCUUGUAUACGAUCUAUUUCUUGAUUGUUAUACUUUAAAUCUAAUGAGAAAUCAAGAAGUAAAGUGAAAGUAGAUACAGUACAAAGUUUUAAAGAGAAAAAUACACAGGAACAUUUUGUACACCACUUUGGUCACCUGGAAAGGUAUGCGUAUCUGUGUUUGUGUAGAGCUAAGAGAUUGUUCUUUGGCAUGAUCAGGUGGGCACUCGGAGUAUUGAUUUAUUUCAUGCUGCAAUCUGACAUGCCAUUUGGGUCCUGGAGGGAGAGUGAGCUAGAACCUUUCGCAAAGAUUGCAAAGGGGCACCUAAUUAUGCCGUCAACAUUCAGCGUGGAAGUUGUUGACCUUAUAACCAAGGUUGUAUCCUGUUCCGAUGCUUGUACUUCAAUUUUUCAUGUAUCUUGGACAUUAUUUGGACUGUGUACAACACGGCAACUAAAUCUUAUGAUUUUCCCGGUCAGCUACUUGUGGUAGAUGAAAAUGCACGCCUCGGAACCAACGGUGCAGACGCCGUGAAGAAACACCCCUGGUUUGAUGGCAUUGACUGGAAACAAAUAGCAGAUGGCACUUUAACAGUACCUCAAGAAAUUUCUGAUCGCAUCGCCAGCUAUGUAGAAACUCUUCAGGAGGAUUUAACUGGCUCCCCUUCCAUGAUGACUGAAGAUCCCGCUGAUCUGGCUGUUCCAGAAUGGGUUAAAGAUUGGUAAUCUUAGUAACUGGAUACAUAGCGAGAGCUUCUUUAGUUUUUGCCAGGAAGGCACUGUCAUAUCAUAUGAAAACAGGUAUCCAGAUGAGCGGAAGUUCUGUCAAAAUGAAGAAUUUAUCAUAAACAGCGAAGAUCCGCCUAUGGUUGUAUAUAGCAGGAAUCACUAGCACAAGCUGCGACCAUUUGAUUAAUGCCAUCAAAUGGAGAAAAUGGUGAUAAAUUAGUCACAAUGCACGAGCAUUGGUCUGCAAGGUGGUAAAUAAGUCCUCCAGUAAAUAUGUAUAGGCCCUUCUUUCAUUUGUCAAUUAAUUUAUAGUUUUCCUACUCAUGUAAUUUUGUGUAAAAUUUUGAAGAGAAAAAACAAGAUCCAUGUGUCGGAAGGUGUCUGCUAGUAGGUUGUGCAGCUGUCUUUACUUAAGUUUAUUUUACAAUCUUGUAAUUUUACAAUUACAGUUUGACGUAAAAUUGCAUGCAUUAUAGAAGUUUGCAGGAUUCAUGGGUGCAUGACUUCAACCAUCAAGGUUCAAAUUCUAGUGCUCACAAUUGUUCCCUCCAUUUCACAAAGGUUGGCGUAUUUGGUUUCGUUAAGACGAGUAUUUAACAAAAAUUACAUUAUUAAUAUCUAAGUUAUAUGAUACGAAACCACGAUCAUUAGCAAGAACUUUUAAAGACGAAUCCACUGAUAUAGAUUUCAUAUAUGAAAAUACACAUAUCAAUAGAAUUCUCAUUGGUCAAAACCUUGUCUUAACGAAACAAAAUACGCCAACCUUUAUGAAAAUGAGGAGGUAUGAUGUAAGGAUUUUCCUUUCCCUUGCAGUCUUUCCAUAAAAAAAAUAGAAGUUUGCAGGAUUAUAGUCCUUGGGAAUUUACAUAUAUGGGCUGUUUAAUUGGUAAGUUGAAGGCAAUUCCAAACGUACGCUUGACAAGUCAGACCAUUUCUCUCCUAAUGUUUGCAUAGUACUCCUUAUUUGACAAGCCAUCGAGAUCUAAUCUGCAGAGGAUACGCGCACAAACUCUGCCUUGCGCGUCAACUAUCGGAAUCUUGAUCCGGUAAUAUUGGUUCUAGAGCUAAGUACACGUGGCGGCUCAAGAUGAAGUUUAGACAGGUUCAGGCGCUCGGAAAGAUAUAAUACCCCCUGUUUGGUGCAUUAUAUUUACGGUGUCUCAAAUGUUUGGCACAACCCUGAGUCGGCUGGAAGCGGAGUCGAUGUUGCUGGUGUUGGAAGCCGUCGAGAUAUUAUCUGGAGAGGAUACACGCACACCCCUACAUGGCACUCCAACUAUCGGUGUUUUGAUCCGACAAUACUGAUUCCAGAGCAAAGUACGUGUGGCGGAUAAAGAUGGUUGCAGACAAGAGAAACGGAGUUUAGAUAGAUUCAGGCGUUCGGAAAGAUUUAGUACCACAUGGUUUGGUGUUUUGAUGUUGUUUCAAAUGUGUGUAGUACCUGGAGUAGUUCUCAGGGUUGCUAGGUCUUUUUUUUGUCUAUCCAAGAACAUGACUAUUAAGUGGCCUUGCCCCGCCUUCUAUAGGUGGUCAAUUGUCUAUCCCGGAUAUUUGCACGUAUCACUAAUUCGACGAGACCUCCCAUGUACGAGUACAAUGCGAAACACCUUGUCACCUGUAAAACCGUUCAACUGUUAGAAAGAGGCUUCCGCACCUCGACAAUAAUACAUGGCCGUUACCUCCCAUCCCACCCGGCGGGAAGCACCAUGUAGAGCCUCUUUGGAUCAUAGGAAUUGUAAAACAGAGGAAUAGAAAAAAUACAGGAAUAGGAAGCCAUGGCAUAUUGAAACCUAUAGGAAUUCAAAACACAGGAAUCAGUAUUACAAGUUGUUUGGUUGCAGCAUAGAAAUAUUUUUAUAUAUGCAUUAGUAUAAGCCACACUUGUCAUUGACACAUAAUUUUUUUUUCAAAAGGUUACACCUCUCGCUAAAAUUCUCAUAGGAAUAGGAUGUAGAAAACCAAUCCAUAGAAUUUGGGGAGGAUGAAUUUCUUUGAACCAAAGAGUCUCUGUAAAAAAAUUUCCUAUGGGUAAGAACCCUACCAAAACCCUAUAAAAUUCCUUAAUCCAAAGAGGGCCGCAGUGCCUGUAGGCCAUUUUUUCUAUCUUUUCGAGAUUGAGUUUCCAACGUGUUAUUUUUGGUAUUAGUGUUUGAAGAUGUCAUUUCCAUCGAUUGCCGUGAGCAUAAAGUUAGAUUUGCGAAAAUGAAACAAAAAAUGUGGCCAUGUGGGUACAAACCCGUACAACUCGUUGUGGGUCCAAGUGAUUUAUUUCCGAAAUUCCGGCCCGGAGACCGAGGUAUGCGCGAAAUUGUCGACUCCUUUGUGGGCCGCCUCCUCUACCGCUCUCUUUUCCUAGAAACCCAAAUUUGCACGCCCUCCCCAGCAGCGAGUACUUGCGCGACCUCGCGGACCCGGAGAUGGCGGCGGCGGCGGCGGCCGAUGAGGCGUGGUGCCGGGAGACUGUUCCCCGUGUGAUGGAGCUGGUGAGCCCGCGUCUUCCUCAGCGCGACGCCUGCGCCCUGCUGGCCGUCAGCCCCUGGUGCCACCGCGCCCUCGUCGCCAAUCCCAAGCUCUGGGAGGUGCGUAUCGCGUUGCCUCGUGUGCACCCUACCCCCCGCUACCUCCUGCCGCGCUUGCUCUCAUGGCAUGCGUUGUAACUAGUGAUUCAGCGCUGCAUACACUGUAUUGUUGCAAUCGUCCUACCCCUCCCCUUCCACAUCCCCCCACCCGCACAGUGCCAUUUUGGGCGGAAAAUAGCGCUCCCAGGAGUUUAUUUGAUUGAUGCUUGGCGCAUGAAUUUUCAUUUGCCUCGAUGUUUGGUUCUGAUUCUUGGACCUGUUAGUUUCUGAUGAAGCAAGAGCCGUUGAAGGAACUGAUGCCGUUACAUAUUGGUUCAGUUUUUGCCCUGCAAAAUUGUUACGACUGAGCACUAGGUUACUCUCUACCAACUUCAUGAGAAUCAAUCGCAACGCUCAUGCAAAAUUGACGUGAGCACUUGUCUUGAGCGGGUGGCAUACCCUAACUGAAGAGUGAGGGCAAGAAGUAGAGUUGAUUAUAGAUGGCGCAUAGAGCAGCCUAUGUCAGAGGUAAAUCAGCCUACUAUGAUCAUUCCUUCGGAAAUAGGUACACAAAAGGAACUAGUUUGUGAAGUUGUGCAGUAAUGUCAUGAAACUAAAAUGUGCAGACGUGCUGAUUACUGAACUGUGCCUUGAAGAAGACACAUGGCAGAUAUUUUUCAUAGAAUAUGUUUUGGCUUCUAGAGUUGAAAUUUAUUUUGUGUACUUUAUAAGAACCAUGUUCUAUCAUUUAUACUGCCCAAUAGUUGCCAGCGGCACACUGUUUGUUCUAUCCUCAAGGCACACACUAAGCCAGGUGAAGAAUUCGCUGGAAACCACUGCCAGAAAGUCGCAUAAUGACAUGCAUUUGGGAACAAAAUUUAAGUGCUAUUUACCUGAGAACAGAGGGAGUGAUUGCCAUUUGCCAGUGAUAUUAUUGCUUUAGUGUACUAGUACUGUGGUUACCUUAACUACAUCAUCCUACUUUAUGUCAAUUAUCUCAGUUCCUAUUUUCUUAAUAAUCUUGAAAUUUUUUAGUCUACUAUAAUUUUUUUUCUCUCUUAACAAAUUAAUAAUAGGUACUUGAUCUGCAUGAGCUGAAGAAAGCUGGUGACCGACUUAUUUCAGCACUUUCACUGGUAAUCAUAAUCCUAUUCUUAAAGUGUUUUGAAUAAUAAUUUCUCUGAUUUUUAUGGUCAUCCAACAUAUCUUUAUUGGGUUAGCGUCAACUACCUUUCGUAGUAUAUAUAGUAGUUUACUAUAUUAUGAUUGCAAAUUUAACGCUUGUAUGAGUAGCUUCGGUGACAUGUGCUGUUAUAUUCUUAUUUAGGCAAGGUAUUGUCAUCUCAAAGUAGUUAACCUUGAAUUUGCUCAAGAUAUUGAUGACCGGCAUUUCCUUCAUCUAAAAGAAAUGGUAAGAUUUGCACUGCUUUUGUGUAUUUUAGGUAUUUCUUAGCUCUGACAUGAAGCUGCAACUGGUUUGACAUGUGAUGAUUUACAGGGUGGUAUUGUACUAGAAGAGUUGGAAUUCAUGAACCUAAAUGCCUGUCAAAAAAUCUCUGACAAAGGAAUUGAAGCUGUUACCAGUCUUUGUCCAAAUCUUCGGGCCCUUUCUAUCUACUGGAUUGUUGGGUAUAUCACUUGCUGGAUGUUUUCUGUACAAUAGAUAACUUGCAGUUCCAAUCGUUAUACCUUUUCCUGUGUCAGGCUGAAAGACGCAAGCAUUGGACACAUUGUGAAGAACUGCAAGCAGAUAAUGGACCUGAAUCUGAGUGGCUGUAAGGUAGUGCUACUGUACCACACUUUUUUCUAGUUUACAUUGUUUCCAAAAAAAUUAAGACAAUAAUGCUGUCCACGGUUAUGUGAUGAUUCUACAUUUUCACAAUUAAAUCUGAGUGAGUGUAUAUAUUACAUCUGUUUCUGAUAACACAGGUUCUUGUAUUUGCAUUUGCAGAAUAUCUCAGAUAAAGGCAUGCAUCUAGUUGCUGAUAAUUAUCAAGGACUACGUAAGUUGGACAUAACCAGGUACAGUUAGAUGCCAGGAACUCCCUUUUCACUUCAUUUUUAACAUUCAUCAAAUUUGAUGGGCUUAGGCAGGAAACACAAUUUGGACAUCUGAAUAUCCUGCGAUAUAUUUGUAGGUGCAUUAAAUUGACUGAUGAUGGAUUUCAAGAAGUGCUUCAGCAAUGCUCUGCUCUUGAAAGUUUGAACCUUUACGCCCUUUCGAGGUAAUGUUCGAAAGUAUCCAUGACAGUAAAUUCUCUCUAGCAGUGAAUUAGAGCAUCUAACAACCUACUUCACAUCAUGCAGUUUAACCGACAAGGUUUAUACAAAGAUAGGAUAUUUAGCUAACCUUAUGUUUCUAGACUUAUGUGGGGCCCAGGUAACUGUUUUUUAUCUACUUUGAUGUUUGCACUGUCAAACCAUUUUGCUUACUAAUUCAGGGUUUCCAGAAUCUAACUGACGACGGCCUUGCCUGUAUAUCAAGAUGCGGAGGUUUGAAAUACCUCAACUUGACUUGGUAAAGCAAGAGCAAACUUUCUUUUUCUGUCAAUUAAAUGAAACUGUGUUGACCAAUGACCAGUCUCUGCAAUCACUUUCUCACAGGUGUGUACGUGUUACUGAUGUUGGUGUAGUAGCUAUCGCAGAGGGCUGCCGGUCCCUUGAACUACUAAGGUAAUGUACUAAUGUGGUAAUUUGUCCUAAAGAUAGUGCAUUCGUUGUGGCCUAUGCAUAUUGUAUUACAUUUAUGCAGUUUAUUUGGAAUACUUGGAGUAACUGAUGCCUGCCUGGAGGCUUUGUCAAAAUCUUGCUCAGAUGGUCUCACGACCCUUGAUGUAAAUGGCUGUACUGGUAUUAAGGUGAGGACUUGAGUAUUUGACUUUAAUUUAGUAUACUUCCCUCAAUUCCGUCAGUCAGCCCUCUCCUUUUCUAAGUUUCUUUUACUUGAAGCUCCCUCUUACCAUAAUGCCAUUAAUUAAAUUCACACCAACAUCAUAGUUUGUCAUAAUUCUCCAAGUGGCAUAUGGUAGAAACCAAGAACCCUAAAACAACCUAAAAUUUGGUAAAAGUUGAAGAACUAGAAAUUUAAUAUCGUCCGGCCUUUUGUCUAUAUUUCAUUUCUAAUUAGCCCAUGCCUUCAACUUCAUGAUUAGGUUAUCAACGUAAACUUGAUGGUUAAUACCAUAUAUCUAUUUAAUCCCCUCCGUCAUAUGUUAUGAGGAAGUUUCUUGAACACUUGUCUUAUGAGAAAGAGUAAAUUACAAAAACACCACAUUGGUGGCUAGUGUUUCAGUUCAGUACCAAUCUACGAUUUUUCUACUAAAAACCACCGGAUUUCCUUAACUGUUCGGUUGCUAACGAAUAACCCCAAAACUGAUGGGACGGGUCCACCGGUCAGGCCAACGUGGCGUCCAGCGUGGCAACUGACGGAACGGAUCUGCCAUCUCUCUCCUUCCGUCCUCUGUUCCCGAUCCAGAAGCUCCAGCCGGCCAUCGUCUUCCUAUCCGAUCCCCGCACCGCCGCCGCCUCGCUCUCCUUCCUCCUCUUCCCCCCGCCGAACGCCAACGCCACCAUGGCCGCCGUCGAGGAGCAGCGGGUGCACCCCUACACGCGCAAGUGGGAGCGACACCUCAUGGCUUCCAUGCACGAUCGUACGCGGCCAUGUGUGCUUGCGACGUGCUCCUGUGGUUAAGGAAAUCCGGUGGUCUGCAUCAAGAAUGAAUCAUCGAUGAAUUGUCCAAGGAAAAAGAACAAAAAUAAUCGAGGAAGAAGAUAAGAAAGACGUUGAGGCCGCAUAGGUCAGAGCGGCGGCGGCGGCUCGCGUGGGUCGAUGACGAUGCAGUGCCAGCGUUGGGGAAGACGAGGCGCGCGAGGGAGCUCCGUCAUCCGCUUGCUCUGCCGCUCCUAGAUAGGGAACCGAGACCAGUAACAGAGAGGGGGGAAGAAGAGAGAUGCACUUUUUCUUUUAUUGGGGAGCCCCACGUUGGCCUGACCAGUGGACCCGCCCCAUCAGUUUCGGGAUUAUUCGCUAGUAACCGGAAACUUAGUGCAAUCCGGUGGUUUUUAGUAAAAGAAACGUGAACCGGUACCAAUCUACAACCCUAGCCACUGAUGUGCUGGUUUCUUACUGUAUGAGAAAUAAAAAUAAAUAAGCUAUAGCUAUUGUGCAAUCUAACCUUUAAUAUUUAAUUACUUAGAGGUUUAUAGUCUGAUUUCUUAGUGUAUUGCAUCAUUUCUGCCAUUUAAUUGUUUGACAGAGGAGGAGCCAGGAUGACCUGAUUCAGCUGUUCCCGCGCUUGUGUUGUUUCAAGGUGCACAGCUAGCCUUGGAAUUUUCUACAGUUCAUAUUUCCCCUAGUUGGCACUUAAAGCAUCACCGAAAAGUCUCAUUUUUGCCACCCGCUAAUUGCUUGUGUAUUAAUAUGAGAGAGUCACAUAACUUGUAUAAUGAUUUUGUAAUAUGCUUGAUAUGCCUCGUUACAUUGUUAUGAAGUUUGAAGUUGAAGAUGAUAUUCUUGUAAUUUCUACAGUCACGUCAUUGAGUUUUUAUAUCACAUAUACGAACGGCUAUUUGUGUUGACUGAGUAUGUUAAUUUUCCUUCAUUGGAUGCGGGCUAAGGACAAGCUUGCCGCCCGGCCACCAGCAUCUGUUGCUAGCCGGUGCCAAUCACCUCGCCACCCAGCCGCUGCAACCGGGGCUGCCGUAGUCAAACGUCGCCUCACAGGCCACUGUGCGCUGCUCGUCCAGCAGCAUCCGUUGCUCGCCGGUGCCAAUAACCUCCCCGCCCAGCCGCCGCCCGUCGCAACGGGCUGCCCUAGUCAGAUGCCAGACCUCGCCUCACCGUGCGCAGCUCAGAGACCAGUAACCUAGGUACUCACAGAAGCUUUACAUGGGAGCGGUGGAGAGAAGAAGAACCGGAGAAGAUGAAGAACCUUGAACUGGACACAGCGCCUGUCGUGGUGGGGAUUUGGCUGUGGAAGAGUAAGGAAGAUGGUGCAGCAGCCACACGGGAGAGUUAACGCUUGUUAGGUUUGUGGGCUAACGACAUGGGCUUGACCCUUGAUUAGUGGAUCUAUCGGUUCCCUUGAUUGCAGCCUUUCAUUUGCUUUAAUAAUUGUGCAAAAAAAUAUUCCCCGGAAAGCACAGAAUCACUUCCGUUUUCCAACGAAAGAAGUUUCCCAUGAAAUUAAAUUCAACAAAUAGUUCAUCAGCAAGUUAGGCCACUCCCAAUGCGUCUCUUAGCACGUCAUCUUACACAUUGUUGACAUGACACCAUCUUAAUGAGGAGACUGUCUCUUAUACUAGCGACCGUCUAUUCACACAAAUCAACACAAAAUCAUUAAAUCUCUCUCUCAAAGUUAUUAAAUUUCUACUAUUUUAGAUACUACCUUAAGAGACAAUGUAUUGGGGAUAUGAUUUCUUAACAUUUAUUGUGGACUAUGAGAUGGCACCUAAGAGACGAUGCAUUGGGAGUGCUCUUAGAGAACAUACCAAAGGACCAUUUUUUUGACGAAACAACAAUUGAUAGGUUAUUUAUUGCUAAGAUGUGUUUGAUGAAGCCUACGCAAGAAGACUCGGAUGGGCGCCCGGAAUAUCAAGGAUCGAUCAGGAUUAACUCGAGUUUUUCUAGUGUUUGUUUUCCUGUUGUCUGAGAUAUGCAUGGAUGUAAUGUCGUUUGGCCGACCGUUGUGUUUCUUUUGUUCUGCUCUCUUGCCACUCCCUCCUAUCCAUAUGAUCGGAGGGAGUAGCUGUCUGUACUACUGAAUUUGAGUCGGUUUCUUUAUUGAAAAUCUUGAAGAGGCUUAUUGUUUCAAAAUUAUUUUUUUGCUGAAAGUUGUUUCUUUUUCUUCUUCGGUGCGGUUUUUUAUUUUUGUAAAGCGAUGCUUACUUGUCGUCUUUCUGGGUUUCUUAGGCUAGCGUUAACAAAUAAAAUAGAGAAAUGCUACCAGUGGCCGAAGUCGACACAAAUAAAAAAAAUCUACACCUAAUAAUAAAGGAAGGAGCGUUUCGCGAGGAAAACCGCUGCUCCGUUAAAAAAGACGGAUGGUCCCACGGUAAAUGAUACGUGGCUCGGCAACAAUGGCACACUCGAUGCCGGUGCGCGGGGUGGUGGAAGGGCUGCGCGGGUACCUGGAGGAGGUGAGCCACAUCAUGCGGCUCAGCCGACGGCUGCAGCUUUGCUCCGCAAGAUCCUCCCCCCAAGCUCUCCACCCACUUUGCCCCGGUCGAAGGCGGCCACUCCAAGGUGACGGCGAUGAUCUCCGUCGAGAUCCUCCCCCAAGCUCGACGUCCCCCGGUGACCCGGUCGAUCUCCUCGCUCCCCACCGCCUCAGGCCCUCUCCGUAACAGCCGUCUCCCGUCUCCCGUCUCCCGCUGAAGCGGGAUCUAAUCGCGAAGUGUUCAGAACCUUGCAACUGACUGUCUUGUUUUGAUCGUUCACAGUAGAACACCAACCAGACGAUCCCUUGAAUAAUGAGGGGAAUCACAGCAAACAUACCAACGCCAGGAUGGGAUUCGAAGGAGCCGACUUGGGAACCAGGGACAGGUGUGAUUACUAAUUGACUGCAGCCAUGGCCGGUCAACUUGAUGCAUGCUUGUGGCUGGACAACACGUAUGACGUAUGCAUGCAAGCAACUGAAUGAACAUCUUGCAGAUCCAGCAGGCGCCGUCGGCCUUCGUACCUCCUUGUACUCCAGUGGGUACCAAACGAUGGCUGCCGUGGCCUGGCCGCGAAAGCCAUGUAUAUAUAUCUGUUGGUUGGCGUAUGUGAGACGCACUGGAAAGCCGGUCGUGGUGAUCGACCGAGGCAUAGGUUUUGAUGCAUCGAUCGAGAUUAAAGGUGACAUAUUUUCAAGUAGUGUUCAUCCAUACACAUAUUUACAAGAAGGGGGCGCCUAGGGAGUCCGCGCGCACUCCCUGGCCUUACGGGGUGCUCUUCCACUAUUCUCUAUUUCCAUAAACAGCAAUACGCGUCCGCAGGGGGAUCCCUCGUCUGUGUACAACUUUCUGCAUGCUCUCUUUACGAACUAGGACCAUCAAAACUACAAAUAAUUCACAGAGUGCACUACGGCAUUCACAACUUGUAGGAACUUUUGGCCCGACAAAUUUGCGUUUCAGAGCAAAGUUGCAUCACGUAGAUUUUCCUCUUUCUCUUAGUAUUAUAUCAUGUGAAAAAGCUUCAACCAUAUCUCUCGCCUCACAUAGUCAUAUGUGACUCUGUUUUCUUACACUAGCAAGUAGCAACAGGUGGUUCAUGCUCCUUAAUUACUGUCUGAGCUCAUUUUGUUCUUGAAAUGUAGCUUUGUCCUCGGUCUAUUAGUUUUCAAACUUCCGCCUUUGGCCUUCCUCCCUGCACUCACUUCAACACUAUCUUUUGAAUAAAUACUCCCUCCGUUCCAUAAUUCUUGUCGAAAUCUUACAUGUAUCUAGACACCUUUUAGAAAUAGAUACAUCCAUUUUUGAACAAAUUUGAGACAAGAAUUAUGAAACGGAGGGAGUACAUAACCUGUUGAACACCCCAAAUUAAAGAACACAGAGGGUUACGACACAAAGUCAAAUGACUUGACCCAAUAACAUGAUAAAGUUACAUGUAACUUAGAUGAACUAAUCAUAUACAGUUAGUACACAUAUCUAUUUUUGUGCAUUACUUAUCGUCAUAUUUAUGAUCAUUAUCGUUUGAACAUCAUGCUUUCACACAUAAUUUAUUACUUCCAGUAUUUCAGGAGACUACAUUAGCAUAGUAACUAAAAUGACAUAGGAAAAAGUGAUGCCCUAAUGAUCUGUAUGCAUGCCAAUAAUAAAGGUUGCAUGUAUCAAUUGUUGAGAAGUUACAUUUAAGUUCUCUUCUCAUAAUUUACAUGUACCUAGCCACCGAAACUUCACCAAAACUACAUGAAUUCUUGCAAAAUUUACAUCAUGCAUCUGUACAUUGAACAUAAAGGUAUAGAACAUGCUAUAGAACUUACAUCAUGACCAUGCAUAUCGAUAAUUAAGGUCAUAAAUUCAACAUCUCAGAAUUUACAUCUACCUAGCUAGUCACUAAAACUACAUGGAGCUGCUGUAAAACUACAUCUUGCAUAGGCAUACCAGAAUUAAGGGGUAUAAUCAUCGUGUUAGCAUGUAAAACUAUAAAUUCUUGCUGUAAAACUACAUCUUGCAUGAUGUAAAACUACAUCUUGCUGUAAAACUAUAAGUUCAACAUCUCAGAAUUAAGGGUAUAAUCAGUGUGUUAGCAUGUACUUUAGUGCUAAUCAAGCACGGACAAGUCACAGCAAGCAAGCACAAAAUUGCUAGCAGAACAUCACUCAAGUAUCAAUAUAAUCAAUCAAGCAAUCACUACUCCGUAUAUAGCAACCCCAAUUAGAUCACAUAUCAUCAGUACUUACAUAAAUACAUCUAAGAGAUCAUGAAAGUAACUCCUCAGAUAAAAACUACAUCUACUGAACUCAUGAAAGUAACUCUUAACAUGAAACUACAUCCAGCAGAACCAUAAAGUAACUCUUAACUGGGAACUACAUCCAGCAAAACCAUAAAGUAACUCUUAACAUAGAAUUUACAUCUGAGCAAGUUUAGGCAAACACUGACAUAGCUUACAUCUAGAUCUUGUUCGGUUAUUCUCCUCACCAAUGGCGACGGCAAGAUCGUCAAGCUACUAGAGCCAGCAUCGAUUGCUCAAAAACCCACAAUCCAGACAAGUGAGAGAAGCUGGGAAGAAGCAGCGGGCUACCGUCUGGCAGGGAAGGCAGGCGCGGGCGACGGCGAUACCAGCGUCGAGGAGGCACAUGGGCUCCACCUCCGGCAGCGACACCACGUCAAGCAAAACAAAUCAAAGCGGGAACUAUUCAGCAGUACCAAAUGGCACAUAGAACUUGAGAAAGAAAUUAUGUCACCUGCCCAGCACCAAGCUCUCGUAUCUAAUCAUCCAACUAAUUAAUCAAGACCACUGAAGGUACCGUAACCAAACUCCACACUUUGCAAUUUGCGGCAAAAUAAUCAGCCGGCCAACAAGCAACCUCUAAACCAAUAUGCAGUUAUCAAUCAGUCGGUUAUCAAGCAACAUCAACUAGAGAUCAAUUUUAAAUCAGCCAACGAGAAGAAGCAAGUAGCAAUCGGCUUCCAAUCAGGUAGUGCUAGCGCUACAGAGACUGCACAGGCGUUUGUUCCUUCCCAUUGACAGUAAACGGCAGAAGCAAUCAAUCGAUUUCAGGAGCACUGGACUAAUUGAAAGGCUGUACUAAUCCAUCCGUAGGAAGCUACACCGGCAAUCCUCUUAGGCAUCAACCACACGAGCUUAUACCUGACAGCAGUGAUGAAAGCAAAUGACGACGACGACGGUACGAACCAGCGACCAACGUGAGUAGUUGCGGCCUGCGGAAACCCGGGCGGCAGAAGCGGCGCGAGGAAGUAAGCCGCGAUGGCGGCGCUGCAGCAACAACCCUAAGGCGCAGGCGGCUGGUAUUUGGGGAAGAGAUAAAGUGCCGGGGGCUGGGGGCGGUGGCAACUAGGGAGGCCUGGUGUGGGGGCGCGCGGGAGUGGGGCGCGCCGGCGGCGGCUGCGGAGGCCGGGGCUUGGGUCGCGCCGGCUGCGGUGGGGGAGGCCGGCCGGGGGCUGGGGUGGCGCCGGCGGCGGCAGGGGAGAAAGGAGGCGAGGCGUGCGGGGGUGGGGGUGGGGGAGACGAAGGGGAAGAAAGGGUUGAGUGAGUUGAGGGACGAGUAGUGUCAAGUGAGCGCUUUGCGUGACUAGAAAGUGCGCACGCACAGAAUAGAAUCGCCGUUGCAAGAAUCAACUUUACCAAGUGUAAGUUCAAUAUUAUAAAGGUGGGAGUUUUUUUUUGUGAAGUAUAUACUUCUACACCACAGUUCAUUGGAAAUUGCCCAAUUGAUUCAAAAUUUUUUUACGGAAGCCCAAUUGAUUCAAAUCUCCUGACGAGCUUUAUGUUUUGUUUUUCCAAUAUAAAUUAGGAGGAUAAAUCUUUACAUGAUUGCUUCUCGGUCUUAUCUCCAAUAGUGCGUGUCAAACAUUGUAUCUCCAUUAGCCCCUAUCCGGUCUGGUCUUUGGUUACGCAUGAGACACAAUGUUUUGACAGGUUCUUGGGAAGAGGUAAUAUCCUAAUCUUGUGGUUUGGUUGACCGUAUUGAUGGUAUCUAGAACAUAUGUCACCAUAUAAGAUAGGAAUUAUCGAGAUUUCUAGCGUUCUGGUGUACGCUGAGAGUCAUAACUAUCGAUGACACCUACACUGUCGUGGGUAGGGAGCCCAAAUCGAUUUUUACAAGGAUUCAUUUUAAAGAGACGGUGUGCCGCGCGUGUACACUUAGUAUAUGCAUCGAUUGUCAAAUUUUGACAUUCAAUCGAAAUGAAUUUUAACUUAACAAAAGUCAUUAUGACUGAAUAUCAAAUUAUGUUGUUAUCUUUUUAUAAAGGUGAAUUUUUACGUGCAUUAUGUUGACACAUGUGAAAGCAAAAAAUAAAUUAAGAAUCCGUGGCAACGCACCGGCAUUGUACUGGUAUCCUAAAAAGGUGAUCAAUAGAUUAGAGAAAAGUCUAUUUUGAACCUUAACCUUGUAGAGGUCGUUUGAUUUGAACCCUAACCUCCUAAUCCCUGAUUUUCAGCCCCUAAUCUAUGUAAUCCGGGUCGUUUAACCCCUUAAUCCCGGAUUAAGCCGUUUGAUCGACCGGGUUUGAUCACGCGGCGCCGGGAUUGCUGAUUUAGGACGGGACUUUAGAUGGGCUUUAGUAAAAUGGCGGCCCUUUUCGUACCUUCAGCCCGUGUAAAGAUACCUAACUCCUCGUUUCCAUCUCCGUUCUCUCUCCCGUGACUGUUGCUCUUCCUCCCAAAACACGCGAGGCGGCAAUGGCGACCGGCAGAUGAUCACGGUGGAUUCGAGACGAUCGACGCUCAAGCGAACGAAAAGUAAGUGCCCUACAUGCUUCUGGUUGAGUCGUGUUCGAUUACAACCAUCUUGAGAUUUUUGGAUUUUAUACCAAUAAAAUUGGGGUUUGGGAGGCACAGAUUAGGGCUUAUUUUGCUGUUGAUUACUAGAUAUUUAAGUGCAUCAGAUGGGUAUUAGAGACGGUUCUGAACUGAUAUUCGUUUGCAUUGUAGGCGACUUUGUCUGAAUGGAUCCCGCGGAGGUGUUGAAUGUGCGAUUUCAUUUUGGUGGAGAGUUCGUCCGCAUAGGACCACGACUGGAUUAUGUGGGUGGGGAUGAAGCAUUGUCCGUGAUUGAGCGCGACAAAGUGUCAUUUCCAGAGUUGAAAGGGCACCUUGCUGAUCAUCUAACACUGAACGAGAACAAGAAAAUACAUUGGCUUCUUCCUGGAAAAGAACUGAAUGAUGGUUUGAUGUUCUUGUAUGAUGACACUGGUUGCUUAAGAAUGUCUCAGAACAUAACAGACGGAGGAGUUGCUGAUAUCUUUGUGGAGUUUAAUACAAAUGAGCCAGACUCCAGCACAGAUAGUGGUAGCAAUUAUAAAGAGGGGGAUGAGGAAAGCAGUGAGUUCCAUAGCGGUGAAGAAAUUGACGAUUUCCCAGAGCCUAAUUCUGUCCUUACUGCAGAUUCAAAUGGAGCUGUGGUGGUUAUUGAUCUAACAGAAGCCAAUGAUAAGGUGUUAGUGCCAAAUGAUGAUGGGGUGAUUACACAGGUUUUCAGAAGCCCAACAAAGAAGAGUCAACAUGCGGCAGAGAAAGAGAGAGGAGUAAGAGGACAUGCAUUGGAUGUAAGUAGUUCACAACUGGGAAUAUCUGUGAUCACUAGAUCUAGUCAGGUUCAGGAUUCAGAUGCGGUGCCACCAGUCCAGAAUGUUGCAGCAGCUCCUACUGUAGUACAAGAAGAAUUGGCAGCAGAUGUAGAGAACAGUGAUAGUAGCAGUGAGGAUAGUGAGUACCAACCACUUAGUGAUGACAGUGAUGAACAUUCAAAAAUAGUGGAGCUAAGAAAGCAUGCAAGGAUGUACAAGAAGAGAAUUAGGUCAUCUCAGAGAUUUGUUGCAUCUGGGUCCAGUGCAGCAGUGCCAAUUGAUUUGGUUGCCAAUGUAGAAGAGGUGGUCAUGGAAGCUGAAUUUGAUUCAGAGGAAGAAGAUUAUUCUUAUGAUGAUGAUCCUGAUGGAGGAGAUGACCACUUUGUGAGAAGAAAGAGUAAGUACCCAAGAUAUAACAACAAAUCUGACGUGCCACACUUCAGUUUGUCAAUGGUUUUCAGCAGCAAACAACAGAUGAGAAAGGCAUUGCAGAAAUACGGUCUUGUCACCAAAAGGAGUAUAGUGUUCUUGAAAUCAGAAGAGAACAGAGUUAGGGCAAAAUGUGGUUGGCCUGGUUGUCCAUGGCUCAUCUAUGCAGCAAAGAGGAGUAGAUGUAGCAGGUUUCAAGUCAUUACCUACAUGGAUGAGCACCAUUGUGCACAGAACAGGGAUAAUAAGUUAGUGACUGCGAAGGUCAUUGCAAAGAGGUAUGAAAACUUCCUUAUGGCAAAUCUUACUUGGAAGAUUGAUAGCAUGAAGACAACAGUGUUGCAAGAGAUGUUUGCUGAUGUCACUUCUUCAAAAUGUAAAGCUGCAAAGAAAAUAGUAAUGGAGAAGAUGUUUGCAGGGAUGAAAGGGGAGUACACUAAAGUGUUUGAUUACCAGCUGGAACUACUUAGGAGCAACCCUCUGUGAGUCUUUCAACCAUGCAAUAGUAGAUUCAAGGUUUUAUCCAAUCAUAUCCAUGCUUGAGAAAAUCAGAUGCAAAAUGAUGAUUAGAAUUCAAGAGCAAAGGACCAAAUGUGAGAAGUGGCAUGGGAUAAUAUGCCCCAACAUUUUCAAGAAACUGAAAGUGAGUAUCAAGCUGAUUGCAUGGUGUGAUGUCCUAUGCAAUGGCAAAGAUGGGUUUGAGGUCAAACACACCAGUGGUAGAGGUAGAAGGUACACUGUUAAUUUGGAGAACAGAACAUGCUCUUGUGGAUAUUUUCAGUUGGCAGGUUUGCCUUGCUGUCAUGCCAUAGCAGCUAUAUACAAAUGUGGCAGAAAAGUAGAUGAGUACAUUGACAAAUGCUUCUACAUUGAAGAGUUCAAAAAGACAUAUGAGCAUUGCAUGGAACCGGUAGAAGGAGAGGACAAGUGGCCCAUUUCUCAAAAUCCAAGGCCAAAGGCACCAGGUUAUAUUAGGAUGCCUUGCAGGCCUAAAAAGAAUAACAGGAAGAGGGAAGAUCAUGAGAAACCAAAAGGAAGAAAAAUGACCAAAGUUGGCAUCCAAAUGAGGUGUGCAGUUUGUCAUAAGACAGGACACAACAAGGUUAGUUGCUUGAAGAAGAAAGAAAAGGAAAUAAUAGCAAUGCUUUCAUUUCCAAAGCUGGGAAAAAGAUUAAGGCAGCAGAGGUAUUUCUUCUUCUUGUUGCCAAUAACUGUGUUUAUAUUGCAGAUUAUCUAGUUAGCAAAGCUUGGAAAAUUGACUAUUAAGUUGCUUUUUUUCUGCCUUUUCAGCAAGCACAAACAGACUUGACCACAUCUGCCAGCCAAUCAGCACAGGCUAGGGGAAAAAAGCCUAGCAGUACUGUAGCAGAAACAAGUGGCAGGAAGAGAAAGAAGCAAGAAGAUGGAAAUGUGUUCAAGGAAAGCAAGGAAAGGCAAAGAAAAAAUGAUGUGUGUGAAACUGGAAGAGAUGUCAAACUGUAAUGGUUCUUUUCGUCAUAUGUGACAUAUGUGUGCUGGGAUGUUUGUUGGUUUUUAUGCUAAACUAUAACCGGAAUGCUACUUUUGGUGAUAUGCGUGCUAGGACAGGUUGAAUUCUGUGAUAUUGUUGGGCUGAAUGCCAAUAUCUGUGAUGUUGCUACUUACAACUAUGUUGUUGUGAUGGUCAGCUUAUUUUUGUGUCAGUUUGGUCAUGUCAGUUAUGGUCAGCUUUGUCAAAUAUUUCAUAUCUCAUUUAUGUGCUAUGCAUCUGUAUUUGGCCAUUUGUCCAUAUUUCUGUGAUAUUUGGUCAUUUGGCUUAAUCUGUAGCCAAAUUCAGACAAGACUCGUAUAGCUACUGCAAUUACAAAAUAACUGAAACCAGUGCACUUCAUUACAACUUCAGGUGCUCCAAUUUACAUCAGUGCAUCACAAAGGCAACUAGAUAGCCCGACAGAAAUAUGACCAUUGCAUACAUCAGUGCAUCACAAAGCCUAUUUUUCUCUAAUUUUGCCGAUAAGGCAUCAAUUGCACGAUCCUUCUCGUACAGAAGCUUCCUCAGUGCAUCACUUUCAGCAUCCUUCAGUGCCAGUGCUUCAAUGUUCGAUCCAUUGCCAGGGACGCCGAUGGCGGCCACCACCACUAUGGCUAAUGGCUUCCUCAUAGCCGACCGCACGGUCUCCCUCACGUCCUGCUCCCUGCUCCACGGCCCGCCGCGCCGCCGAGCCCCACGCAGCCGUGCUCCGCGCGCCGCCGAGCCCCGCGCUCCGCCGUGCCCCGCGCGCUUCCGUGCCCCACGCGCCGCCGAGCUCUGCGCGACCGCGCCGUCGCCUCUCGCUUGCCCUCCUCUUGCUGAACCCUAAUUUCAUUCCUCAAUUGGCUUCAGAGUUCGGACGAACGGGUACGAACAGCGAUCCCGCGUGGGACCCACCUAAUGAGCUGGAUCAGCAAUCCCGGCGCCGCGUGAUCAAACCCGGUCGACCAAACGGCUUAAUCCGGAGAUUACAUAGGUGGGGCCGAAAAUUAGGGAUUAGGAGGUUGGGUUCAAAUCAGACGACCUCCACGAGGUUAUGCCGUGCGCGUCCAAAGCUUGUGAGGGGAGAGCGGCGCCUGCUGGGUUCGUUCCAAAUCCCGGAAAAAAGACUUUAUUAAUUAAGUCAGGCUGGCAAAUCAUCAGCUGGGCACAACAUUAGGAAAGCCGACCAACCCCAAUAAUUGUCUUUCUACGAAGCUUCCCAUGACCUUCAUACCUCUCGCUGGCCAACUCCCACUGUAGAAGUGUAGAUCGUGAGGCUAUGGGCUGUGGAGCACGGUGAUUCCUCCCCUCGCCUGCUGCUUCGCAUCCGAGGGCGCUCGGGGUUUUUUGCUUUGUUUUCUGGGGAAGAUUCAUUGGAAUCUGGAAUCGGCCGCACGAUCUUGGUUGGGGCUUGCACCGGUAAACCUUUGCUCUAUUUUACGGCAUCUUUGUGUGCACGUCCUUGAUUUCUCCUGCGAUCCUUUUUAUGUUCUGUUCGGUAGCGACCGCUAGUUCCACCGUCCUUUCUCCCCGCCGGCCUUGUUCUCCUUAGGCCUUGCUCAGUUGCUUGGUACUAAAUUUUUUUGGAGUGUUUUCUCAGUUAUUAUCAAUCCCAAAAUGAAAAACACUAGAAACCUUAAAGCCUUGUUUGGUGGUACAAGAGUUUUUGGAUGUUUUUAGGGUAUUAUUCACUCCAAAUUGAAAAACACUAGAAACCCUGAAUUGUUAUUUGGUAGGAUGGGUUUAGAGAGAAUUAUUCCUAAUUUCUCCCACAAAACACUCAAUUUUUUACCAAAUUAAAACACUUCUCACACUAGUGUUUUCUUAAAAACACUAGUGUUUUAGGUUUAUUAGAUUUUGGAUGAACACCCAAACCCCUCAAAUAUCAAAACACUAGUGACUAAAAAAUACACUAACACCAAACAAAGUCUAAAUAGUUGUUUGGUAGAAAGAGUUUAGAGUGGAUUAUUCCUAGUUUCCCCCCACAAAACACUAUACAUUUCUUUAAAAUAGUUACGGCUUACUUUUUUUUUAUAGGAAAAACACAGUACAUACGCAAUCACUCACACACAUACGCACGUACACUCACCCAGUCACCCCUAUGAACGCACGCACGCACACCCUACCCCUAUGAGCACCUUCGAGAGACUGAGCCACCGGCCGAUCAUCUUGAGAUUGACGAAAUCACCACAGGCGCCUCGUAGUUGACGGGUACGUCACUCCCACUAAAACACAACGCCGGUUAAAAUCUGAAAUAAAUCCUGAAAAUGCAAGCACCCAUGUCAAGUCUGGGACUUGAACCUGGGUGGGCUGGUUCCACCACAAGAAACCAACCACCUGAAUUGGGCUCAGUUCGAAAAAAAAACACUAUACAUUUCUGUACCAAAUUAAAGAGCUCUUUUACGGUACCCCAAAAUUACUAUGGACCGUCUAUUCGAUGUAAUCUAAUGGCUAAUACUGCAUGGUCCUCCAUCAGAAAUUUUUAGGACUACGGGACCAUCAGAAAUUUUUAGGACUACGGGACCAUCAGAAAUUUUUAGGACUACGUACUAUAAAUAGGUGGACUACCUUAAUGUGAAGGGCAAAAUUGUGCCAGUUGGGAGAUCUUGUGGAAGAUCAGAUUUUUUUGUUUCCUAAAUUACUGGAUGAUCAAUUUGGAAAGCUAAUGGGGAGAUCGCAUAGGAGAGGCCGCUGGCUUGCCGUAGAGUUGCCGGUGGAUGGAAUUAGAUCGAUCUGGCCAUAGGAAUUGAAGAAGAGGAAGUACUAGAAUUGUUAAGCGGACGAUUGAUCUGGGGUAAGGAAUGAAUGAAAUUGGAGGUUGAUGUCUUCCCGCCGGCGAGGAUCGAGAGUAAAUUAGUACCGCGGACGGCGGUGCGUGUCUGCGAGGGCGAAGGGGACACCAGGCCAGGUCGAUUGAAAAAAAAAAGACAACUGAAAAGUCUAAAUAUCCCUCCCAUAUGGACGGUUGGAUUUGUUUGGUACUCAUUUCUAUACAAUGGAGUGAUAGGAUACUGUAAAAACUCUCAAAUUAAAACACUUCUCAUUUGGUAGGAUGAACACCCAAAACCCUCAAAUACUAAAACAGUAGUGACUAAAAAUACACUAACACCACCACCCCGUCACCCAGAUGAACCCAAUGCCACAUGAGGUGGCACAACCACGACAACUAGAGCCACCGCCACAGCGCUACCUCUUGCCACGUCAUGCAUCUCCCGGAAGAAAGUCCCUGUCACCGAUGACGCCAUGGGGCCUUUGCCCAGCAGCGCCCUCCGCCGGCCUGUGGCAAGGGAGUGGCGGCGGCUUAGCGUUAGAUGAGAAUUUCGCUCGUUUGGUGUAUCCGAGUGAUGCGUCCAAUAAUUUGCUUAUUAUUGCCGGUUUUACAAAAGAGCCAGAAACUACUGAAGACACAAACUUAUCAAAAUAUAGAUGUAUCUAUACCCAAAGAGCGUCUAGAUACAUGUAUUUGGUCACUUAAUAUAAGACGGAGGGAGUAUGUUUAGUUCUUUACAUGUUGUUUGUCGCAGUGACAAGUAAUUCCGGCCAGAGAGAGUACUUUAUUUUUUGACAUUUUGUGUGAGAUCUUGCCACGCGGUUUUAUUACUUUAGUAGAAAGUUCAAUUGACUAGACCUGUACAUGGUCGGGGUCUUGCAUGCUCUAGGUCGUCCCUUUUUCUGAAGACUUUGGUUUUUCUAAACCCAACCAACAAGUUCUGUACUUUCAAGAAAACAUAAAGUUUGGGUCUAAAGGCAUUGAUAGAAAAAGGUAUUUAUAAGUCCAAAAACGGGCCGAGACAAUUGAAUACUCAAAACAAGACGACGUCCAAUGGUCGCAAGUCAAAACAUCACAAUUAGCACCACCAAACAACCUAAGACCUAGAUGCCAACCACACAAACGUACCGGAUGCAAAAAAAAAAAAACCCACUAAGACUUUGCUGAAGGAAACGAGAAUCCAACUGUGAAAAGAGGCAAAGUUGUGACACUCCUGCUUUGGAGACGGCAAGUUGAUGCCUUGUGUUUUAGGAUUUUGUAUGACAGUUUCUUUGGCAAUAAAUAACCCAUCGAUGGUUGUUUCGUCUUAAAAAGAAGAGUUCAUGAUCCUUCCGUAUGUUCUCUAACUUGCUGAUGAACAAUUUAUUGUGAUUAAUUUUAUGGGAAAUAUCUUUUGUUGGAACAUAUCUAGAACAAAUAAGUAAUACAAUAGCUGGAUUCUUAUAUACCUAACCAAAAUUUUAGUUCGAUAAUGUUGAUUGCGUCUACAAUGCUAAUUGUGUCCAAUUCUCUCGCAGAACGAAACUAAUCUUCCAGACUCCAGUUAGCAUGGGCUUAUCAAAGGCCAUUGGGGUCAUUAGCGGCAUCAAUGAAUGUGUAAACUUGUUUCAGUGGGCCAGAUCUGCCAUUUCAUCUCUGCACUCCCGAUGGAGUGGCUCAGAGGAGCAAAAUCUUCAGGAUCAUGUAUUGCACUUGCAGAGUGGCCUAGAACGUCUGAGGGAUACUCUUCCUGCAGUGUACGACCUCAUUAAUGGAGCAGAGUGGAGAUGCCACGAACACUGUGUGGCCGAGCUCCUUCCGAAACUCAAGGAUGCUGUGUAUGACGCCGAUGACCUUCUUGAUGAGUUCAGAUGGUACGAGAUGAAGCUGCAAGUGGAGGGAAAUGCAAGCCAAUCUCCUUUCAUUGACUUCUUUGAUACUGUCUUUCAAGGCAGCUACAACAAACUGAAUGAUGUCCAAGAAAGGCUGGAUCGUCUUUCCAGUCAGCUGGAGAAGAUGGGGCUGCGUCAAGUUACGCAACGUUUUGACAGAUCAGUCAGGCCGGAGACCAGCUCAUUGCCAAAUGAAACAAAAAUAUUUGGUCGUGACGAGGUGAUGAAGCAGGUGAUGGGACUUCUCAAUGUCCCUACCAUUUCAAAACGCAAGAGAGCAAGGAGCCCAGUCAAUACAUCAACAAGAGCAUCACCAAGCAACCAAGUUGGUAAUGAAUCAAGAAUAUCGAGUCUUGCUGUUUUGCCAAUAGUUGGAAUUGGUGGUGUUGGAAAGACUACUUUGGCCCAACAUAUCUGCAGUCAUCAACGAGUCAAGUCUCACUUUGAACUGAUUAUUUGGAUUUGCGUCUCGGAUGACUUUGAUGUGAAGAGGUUAACUAAAGAAGUCAUACAAUCCUGUCCUGGAAAAGAGGCAACAACUGAUAAUUUGGAUUCUCUUCAGCGUGCUCUUUCUAACCAUGUGAACAACAAAAGGUUCUUGAUAGUCCUUGAUGACAUGUGGGAUGAUGCCUUGAAGGAAAAUGGGCAGCGUUGGAAGACGUUUUGUGCACCUUUUAAACGUGUCAAAGACGGAAGUAUGAUUUUGGUCACCACUAGAUGUCCAAAGGUUACCGAGGGAGUGCGCACAAUGGAGCCCGUUAAAUUAGAAGGUCUAAAGGAUGACGUAUUUUGGAAUUUCUUCAAACUGUGCGUGUUUGGAUCUGAGAGUUCUAACAAUGAUCCAGAGUUAGAGCACAUUGGUAGAACCAUACUUCCAAAAUUGAAGGGUUCUCCUUUAGCGGCCAAAACUCUUGGACGCAUGUUAAGAAUGGAUCUCCAAGCACCACAUUGGAAUGUUAUACUUGAGAGUGAACUGUGGGAGUUGAGACAAGAGGAGACUGACAUUUUGCCUGCCCUUCGGUUGAGCUACAUGUAUUUACCAUUCUAUUUGAAGCAAUGCUUCUCAUUCUGUGCUGUGUACCCCAAAGAUUACAAAUUUGAGAAGAAGUACUUAGCUGAAAUUUGGGUAGCAGAAGGCUUUGUGGAACAUCAAGGUGAUGUUCCAGUUCAAGAUAUUGGUCAUCAGUACUUUGAAGAGCUUGUAACAAGGUCAUUCUUCCAAAAAGUUAGAGAUCGAUACGUAAUCCAUGACUUGCUGCAUGACAUGGCACAAAAAGUUUCAGAGGAUGACUGUUUCAUCCUAAGGAACAAGAGCGAUUUCGAUAAAGUUCCUAAGAAUGUUCGUCAUCUGUAUGUACUCCCGAGCAGUGACUUUGACAAUACCAACCUGUUGAGCCUAUGCAAGUACAGAAAGCUUCGAACCCUGUUUUGCAAGAAGCAAUUAGGGAAGAAAACAGGUUCUGUAAUGGACCACUGGUGUACAGAACUUCAGCGUAUGCGUGUGAUUUCUUGUGCCUCUACAAAUGAGGUACCAGAUAGUAUUGGGAAAUUGAAGCAUCUUCGGUACCUCGAGAUCUCCAGAGCUUGUCCUUUCAAGAGCAUUCCUUCAACUUUCUGUGGGCUCUAUAAUUUGCAGAUCUUUAAUGCCGCGAAAUGCAAGCUAGAAGGCUUGCCCAGUGAAUUUGCUAAGUUGAUCAGUUUACAGAAAUUGGUACUAGAUGGAUUCCAAUAUUGUUCGGGGUUGUCUUUUCCCAAAGAAUUUAAUGCAGCGGAAGGGGAACAAGGAAUUAGAUUGAUUAGAUUACUAAAGAAUCUGAACCAAUAUUGUGGACAUUUGGUCAUCAGAAAUAUUGGCAUGCUAAGUAAGGAUCAGGCAGCAGAAGCUGAACUGAAGAACAAGAAAUGUCUUGAUGAGUUGACACUGGAUUGGUCUUGUUGGGCGUCACGAAGCUCCCAUUAUUAUCAAAUCAGCCAACACAAUGAGAUAGAAGUGCUUCAAGUUCUGCGACCUCCUAUCUCUCUCAAGCAUCUGUCACUAUCGUUAUCCAGGUGUCUCCCUCUCAAGCUGGUCUCAGACAAAAAACUUGCCAAGCAUAAACUUAAAUGAGGUGCCUGCGGUUCACUACAACGAUGGUAUUUUCCAGUCCCUGACAAAUCUAACCAUUGACGGGUGCCAACAUUUAUCAAGCCUCGAACAUGUUCUGUGCCCAGAUUAUGUACCGGCCAUCAAGAAGAUAAGGAUUGCUGAUUGCGAGAUGUUAGUAUCAGUAGCAACUGAAAGGUUUAGGGAUUUGAAUUUCCUUGAAGAAUUGGAGGUGCGCGGUUGUCCGAACAUCUGCUCCCGAAGUUUGGUGUCGCGGUCCCUUAAGAAGCUAACGCUGGCUAGUUGUGGGAAUCUCCUGGACAAUAUUGAAUGCUGCUCCCUCACGUACUUUUUUUUUAUCAUGUGACAAUGUUACGUCCAUCCAACCACAAAUGUGGAGUCUUCCAGCUCUACAGGAGAUGAUAUUCUGGGUGUGCGGAUCUGUUACAUCUAUUGUACUCUCCACUAAUCUUCUCCGUUGUGCUGGUACUGGAAGAAUUGGAGCAUUGCCAUCCCUUAUUUUCUCGAAAUUGUGGGAUGUGGUAAAUUGUCAACCCUUGAUAACCUCCUAACGCAAGAAUAUCUACCUGCCAUUAAGAAAAUUGAGGUUCGUGCUUGCCCAAGACUCAACUGGCAAAGGGGAUUCGUGUUUCCAUCGUCUCUCCAAAGGCUCGAAUUAAAUGAUUCUGGGGAUAUCUCUCCAUGUGUUCCCAGCUGCCUACAAAACCUCACAUCCCUCGUCUCACUGAAGAUGAUUGAGUGCCAGGGUUUGACAUCCAUUCCAGGCGACAUUUGGCGCAGCAGUCUUGCAUCACUCGAGGAAUUGGAUAUUUGGUGUUGUCCAGACCUAGUUUCAAUUGGCGGAGCAGAGGCAGUUGCGAAAAUAAAGUAUGUGGAUAUAUGCGACUGUCCAAACCUAGAUGAAGCAGAGGAGAUCAUGAACAGGAACCGCUAGGGUACGUGUGCUAACAAUUGUUUUCCUUUCCAGCUUUUCCUCCGCUUUUGCUCAAAUUUCCAUAUGCACUGAAAAAUAAUUCAUGUAUUAUGAAUAAUGACAAUCCAACUUAAAUCAUACUCUGGACUUGUAUUGACAUGCAGAGCUCCUGCAUGGUCUCGAAAACCGAAAAAGAAAAUAUGGGCUGGACUUACUGGUCGAUGAGCGAUGACACCUACAUGUAAUGCAUGCCUGAUUCAGAGGUAUAGUUCCAAUGCUUAGUCCGUAUUACUCUACCUAUUAAUCUUUUCUGAAAGAAAUUGUGAUAUUUACACUAAUUACACAUAGAUGAAACUUCGGAAAACUUGCUAAAAUGUAGUUGUACAAGGGCCAACUUGUUGCGUGACGUAACGUAAGUCGAAGGUCUACUCUUUUUUCUGGCCAUUUUUGCUUUUACUGACUUUAAUUUUGUUCUCCAGAAAGGAGAAAGAGAAGGACUGUGACGGGCAAGCUGGAGCCCAAUAGCUGCAGGACUUAAGUUGGAAGACUCGGGCGCCUAGGGGUACAACGAAGACAUCAUUGCCUUAUUCAGGCUGCAAUCCACAUUUGUGUUGAUAACUAUGAGCUUCUCCCCGCAAAAAAAAGAUAACUAUCAGCUCCCAGUUUGCACAAUAGUAAACUUCUUGCUUCAAAUAUUUAGCAUUUUAGCUACAGCCUGCGAGUUGCAACUUGAAAGGCUUCGUGACGUGAUAUGCCGUUUCCCAAUUUCUGUUCUAUGUCAAAUAAGUGAGGACAACACAUGUGUUGGUGUACCGUGUGGACGCCGGACAUCUUAGGCCAAAUGUGGCUUCUACAAAGUAUGGUAGACGAAAUAGCCACCACAGUCCACAAGUGUUGCAAGAAAAGACCAUAUGACAUGUGAACUACUGGCCGUCUGGCCUCUUCUUCUAUAAUAGAUGAUGUAACCGCUUGGUUGCAUUCUGAAAAAAAAACAUGUGAACUACUCGUAAGGUAUUGAAAGUGUGCCAAGCAACAAAUGUGGUAAUAAACCAAACACAUACCUAAGGUAUUGUCGCGUGCGUAGUGUUAAUAAUCAAGCUGACAUGCUCGCCAUCUGUUUUUGACCUAGACAUAGUAUUAUGAGAAGUUUUGUGAUGUUGUCAUUAUAAGUCCAGAGCAGAUUAAUUUCGCCAUGUGAAGUCUUUGUCGUUUUUGUCUGUUAAAACUCUGUACUUGAACUUCGAUUGUAAAUUUCCACAUUUGUUGGUUUUACUUGUACAUGUGUUAUCAUAUUGUCAGUUAACACUUAGUUUGAGAAGCAAUCUCGACCAUUAUAAUCCAGAACCAGUAUAGUUAAACGGUACAGACAAUUUAGCCCAUGUGAAUGAACAUGGUUGCGCAUGCAUAACAAGCCUAGCCAGGAAUCUGGAAAUUGUAAGUGAUAUCUGCCGUUCAAAGCUAAGCUUGUUUAACAGGGACUCAGAUUCACAGUCGAUGCUGCUGUAGGAAUGCGCAUGCUGAAACUGAUGCUUUAAACAUGAGGACAGAAGUUCAGGAAAGUUUUUGACGAAAUAACUGUCCCACCGCCUACGGUUGACAAUGCGUUAGCUCCUGCAUCUGUGGAUAUCUAGGGCAAAAAAUACAUAGAACCUUCGAUGGCCUCAUUAAUCCUUUUGAUCUUGUUUGUAUUUCCUAAACGCCUAAGUACAAAUAAAAUGUUCACGCACAUUGGCUCGACAACAGCAGGGUGAGGAAUCCAGAACAGCGCUACUAACCGUCGACGUAGAUGGAUGAGCAGGGAACUCUGGUACAAGAAUACAUGGGAAGCUUAUUUUGAAUAAAUCUGUGCACAACAGAUCGGACAGAAAAGGUUUACAACGGUAUUUCACUAUAAAUCAACAAUCCGAACGAGUUCAUCAACGUCUUCUCGAUAUAACAUGUUUCGAGAAAAAUAAGAAAUCACAAAUGAGUAUCUAUCUCUUUAACGGAAAAUAUGACAUGCCCUGAACCUGAACUAAUCAAUAACACACUUAGGAAGACAAGUUCCCGAACGCAGGGUGUGUUCUUCUUGACGUAACAUUUAUGGGGGUACAGAUGUUCUGCAAGUUAACCAUGCUAGACUGAAACAGCUCUGCCUGGAUCAUGAAGCCUGGGGCUUCUCCUCUGCUUUCUUUGGCUGCAAAGCAGAACAGGUAGCAAGAUUUUCAUUUAAGAUUCACAAUAAGAAUAAAAACAGGCAACAAAGACUGAACAGUGCUACGGUACUAGGCCCGGUCCAUGGAACGGAAAUUGGUAGCAUGCAAUCAAAAUUACCCACACAACCACAACACAGAUAGAGCGGAGCAACGGAAUGUGCCACAAAGAAAAUACUACUCCCUCCGUUCCAUAAAAAGUGUCGCCCACUUGGUACAAAAUUUGUACUUGGUACAAAAUGGGCGACCCUUUUUAUGGAUCGGAGGGAGUCGUAAUUUCUUACAAUAAUGGGCAGCACCUGUCUACAAAGAAAAUAAAUCUACCAUGCAAAGCCAAGGGUAUAAUUGAGAUUACAAACAAAACUAGUAACAAAACCUGCAUUUUGAACCCAUAAUCUUUAUGAGCAACUGUCAUGUGGGAUAUUCAUUAAUCGCAGGAAGGCCACACCAGGAGCAACGGCCGCAGCAGAUGCAGUCAAUGAAAGUUACGAAAGGAUCAGCCAAGAUCCUUUCAGUUUAGGCAUAUAUUUUCUUUAGAGUUUGUUUCCAGUUUGGUUCAGAUCUUUACCAAGUUUGUUUGAAUGCUGGCCUGGCCCCAUGUCAUGUAUGUAGGCUAAUGCAUACCCCCUAGUCUUUAUCAAUCAAGCAAUAAACCAAUCUAUUAUCACCCUUGUUACUUUGCUUUGUAGCAACCCUUCCAGGGCUGGCGUUGUGCCACGGAGGUUCAGGGAUCGGACUCCUACUACCCACAGCCUCCCUCCCCCCCCCCCCCCACCCACCCACCCACAAUUAUGCUAUAAUUCCACACAAAUCACGCAUCACAUCACAGCAAAUUGUUGACUGCAUGUGACUUAGCUUAUCUUAAGAAUAUUGCAUGUAAAGAUCACAAAAUUAAAGAUGCAUAGCUUCCUGAAUUAAACUUCUGAAUGAAUCUCCUGUACAUCAGUGUCUGACCAUGAAUCACGAGAAACAAACAGGCACCUCCAAACAUAAAUGUGUGUUAGUUUCAUCACAUGAAAAAAAGGAGACAGAAAAUAUUUGGAACAAUGAUAUGAUUUUUAUUGAAGGAAAAUAAACUUUGGUGUUCAAAACAUGUAUGUCAUUCACGGAAAAUCAAAUCCCGUGCUACUGGGAAGUAGGAGGAUCAUGGGAAGAAGAAAUAUUGGGAAUACCGGCAUACACAACAUACAGAAGUACAUAUGUUGAUAUGUAUUGUAUAGAGGUAGGUAACAGCACAAACUGGCAAUUACUACCUCCAUUCCUAAAUGUAAGAUGUUCUAGCUUUUCCUAAGUCAAACUUCUUCAAGUUUGACCAAGUUUAUAGAAAAAUGUACUAAUAUCUACACUGUCCAAUAAAUAUACUAUGAAGAUAUAUUUCAUAAUGGAUUUAAUAAAACGAAUUUAGAGUUAUAGAUGUUGGAAGAUUUUUCUAUAAACUUGGUCAAACUUUAAGAAGUUUGACUUAGGACAAAAGCUAGAACAUAUUAUACUUAGGAACAGAGGGAGUAGAAAAUAAAUACUGUCCAGAUAUUCAGGAAUUAUUGGAGUGUGCAAUGUGCAAUUGAUUAUGAGUAUUCCAAUGGAAAACUUGUGCCCAAAUAAUAAAAGAAAACUGUAUGGCUGCCUCUGGUUUGGGGUCAAAAUAAAUAUAUGUUAGGUCAGCACUCAGCAGGGCUAGUGGCAUAUUUAAAAAUUCAAGAGAUUUUUGAACGCUAGAUAAAGAACAUCUGUAUUUUGAAUUUUGAUCAGGACGCAGGUUAAACUAGCUUCCCGAGCCUACCACUUAAAGCAACAGAUACGAUCUCAAACAGCAGCUGAGCAAAGUUAAAAAAACAUAAAAAUAAUAAUACAUAUAAAUUAUACUCCCUCCGUCUGGAAAUAAGUGACUCGGAUUUGUCCUGAUUCGUAUGUAUAUAGACAUGUUUUAGUGUAUAGAUACAUGCGAAUCUAGACAAUUCCGAGUCACUUAUUUCCGGACGAAGAAAGUAAAAGUAAGAAACACAUACAUCUGGUUCUACACAUAUCUGUGGAACCCAAAAGUACAGAUGGCAAAACGGCACCAAAAGAAAAGAAAGGCGUAUGAAAACCUCAUAACUUAUUGAGUAACUGACCCAAGAACCCACUGUCAAAGACUACAAAACGAUAAUCCAUGUUAGCUACCAUAAGGCACUUAACUAUAUCAGAAUUCGAGGAAGAACUUAAACAAGCAGUUUGAUCCAAUUAUUACUAAAUUUCUCUCUAAAUAGCAUACCUACACAUGUACGUAGUAGAGGUAGUUUUAGGCAUUGGCACAAGAAUUAUUGAAAGUAGAGGUAAAAUGUUUUCACUUACCAUCAAGCACAACCAUAGCAAGAAAUAGCCACUUAAUAUGACUUGUUAAUAUAUCUUUUUCUUUUGAAACAACAGACAGGAUGACUGACUAAUUCGUUAAUACAGAGGCCAUUUCAUGUCUCUAUCGCAAUGGUCAGGAUCCAAUGCAGUCAGCUAGAACAAAAAUAGUUAAAGGCAGAUAAUUCACUAAACAUUUAUUUCCUACAAGGAUUUGGGACACCGCACACGUUUCCAUUGGAGUGAAACGUCAGAACAUUUAGGCAACUCAUCAUAGUAGAAUGACCAAUGGACUGGAAAAUUAACCCUACGAGAACUCAAAUAAAGCAACGGCAGAUCUCAAACUCAUAAUAUAGAUUAAAUCAACCAAAAAAUCAGUACGGUAAGCAAGCAAGAAAGUGAAUGUGGUGCAUUGGUGUUCUCUUGACUGCACUGAUGGAUGCACAAGGGCGCAGGCACUGCUAAGAUUAUUAGCCAGUUUUUAUCAAAUUACAAAUAUGUUAUAACCCCUCCUGUUCCAAAAACAACGAUGCCCUAGAAUGACGCAGUCAAACCAUACCAAUGAUUAUCAAAGAGAUCUAAUAAUAUGAAAUAAGAUACAGUGGUCAAAAUGAGGUCUCAUUGACUCUGAAGAUGAACCUUUCAAGAAAAUGAGUCUGAAGAUCAAAACCCACGUUUUUUUGGGUAUGUUUGGUUUGAGCCCAUGAUUGCCAUGCCAAAUAUUUGGCUAGCCAAAAUUUGGGUGUUGAUUUUGGUAGCCUGUCAGUUGGCCAAUUUUGGCAAGAAAAAUGAACUAUAGUUAGUGGUAGGGCAUUGGCUUGCCAAUGCCAAAUAGUUGGCUUUCAUCCAAACAAGGAUCAAAUCUUGGUCAAUGACGAAGUUUAGUAGGGUAGAGUUUAGUCACCAUCCAAACAUACCCUUUCUUCCAAUGUAUGAAUGUUCCAUUAGCCAAGUGAUGUAUAUAAAAUCAUUUUUGAAUUAAUACAAUGCGCAACAACAAAUGUAUAUCAUUUUAGCACUCUACUUUAAUCUAAUAGUAAGUAGUUAUAGAAUUUCUAGGCACAUUUCCCUGUUUUAUCCUUCACUAGCAUCAUUAGUCAAUGCGUUGUUUUCAUUUCCAUCAAACUAGAAUCAUUAGAACAUACACGGUUGCUGAGGAGCACAAGAUGAAUGAGUGAACAUAUCUCUAACUCCAAUAUUUGGACGAGAGAUUUCAAUGCAAGGUAGUAAAAUACACCACGCAAGGUGUUCGACAGAAAGUGAAGUGAACGAAACAAAACAGAAGAGGACGCACCUUGAUACCGGGGAAUGACAUGCCGAGCUCCUCCUCUGGGAUGACUACGGGCCACUUCUCCCCGGCCUCGCGGAAGAGCUGCUCGGUCUCAAGUAGGCGGCCGCGGGCGAGGAUCUGGUCGCGCAUGCCCUGCGCGGUGGCGCCGUCGGCGGCGUCGAAGGCCUCCUCGGCACCGUUGACGUAGGUGACGAGGACGCGCGGGGGAGGCUGGGCCUUGGGGUCCUCAGCUGCGGCCGCCGCGGGCAGGCGCCGCAGCUCGACCGAGCAGGCAGGGUUGGAGUCCUUGGCCUUGCGGCCGUUGCACUGCGCGAGGAGCUCCACCGCCGCCGCCUUCCGCGGGUCCAGCGGGUUGUACUCCACCACCACCUUGGACAGGAACUUGAGCAUUCUUUUCUAGGCCGCCGAUUCAAUUCCCUCGCUCGGUCUCCGCCUCUGAUUCCCUUCCAGGAGACUGUCCACAGCACCGGCAACGGAAACAGCCAGAGGCAAGGUGGGGCUGGAGGGAGGGAGGCCGGUGGCGUAUGGUGAAGCGGGAGGGGAGAGCGGCGGCGGCGAGCGAAGGGGCGGAGUGUCACAGAAAGACGGCGCCGGCGUUUUUCUCGAGCGCAGAUGAGAAGAGAAGCAGCCCAGCGCUAGCAGACGGCCCGGACAUUAAGUUCAGGCCUGUUACCGGACAAAACAGGCCCGUGUAUGACAGGUUUCUCUACCGUCCUGUUAGCAUAAAAUUCAAAAUUGCAAUUAAGCGGUGGUUGAACACACAAUUAGGCCCCGUUCGGUUGCUCCCAUCCCGUUGGGGAUUGGAAGAGAUUAACAAGAUUUCACCUCAAAUUCCCUUCAAUCUUCUCAAAUUUCUACAGGGAUUUGUCUAAUUAUAGGGGACAACUAGAAAACGGAUUGUAAACCAAUUAUAUGGGAAAUUGGUCUUGUUAGCUAUAUUUAUAUGCGAAAUAUAUGCGUGUAAUAUAUAAACACGAUAUGAUUAUAUUAUAAUAUAAAAUAUUUUAAUAAUAAUUAUAAAAUUAAUGUAUUAUUAGUACUAAAAAAAUAUAAUAAUACAUAAUUAAAAUUGCAAUAGGAUUUUGUAGGAUUCAUAAGGAGAAAAGAAAUCCAUAGAAUUCACUUAGUAAGAGUUUACUAACAACUUGUACGUAACAAAGCCUAAAAAAUUAGAAUCAUUCAACAUUCCUAUGAAAUUUUAAAGAAAUUGAGAUUUCAUCUAAGAAACAAAAUCGGAUAGCUUCCUAACCAUUAGAGGGAGCUUUAUUGAAGCAAGAUGUUGCAUCAAGAAGAUACAUCAAACAAAGGCUUAUGGAUAUGGUUGAGAAUUAUCAUAUCUAUUCAUUCAGACCUCGACAACUGCAUCAGCGAAAAGAUACAGGUUCUUCGAAUCUGCUCAUAUCCGCCAUCCGUUGUUUUGUGAAUAAACUAUCAAGAAAACAUUUUUUUGUGAUCAACGAGACCGUUAACAAUGCUGAAAGUGGUAAACAAAAGGUGUCAGCAACAAGAAAUGUGCUGACGUGUAAUACUUCACCAGCAUACAUAAUAGAUAAAAUGAAAUCAGCAACAACAUAAACAUAAUACGAAAAGCCUAUACCAAAACCGAAUACUUCCACCGUCCAACAAAGGAUGUCUCAACUUUGACUAAAUUUGAAUGCAUCUAUACACUAAGUCAUGUCUAGAUACAUUCAAAUCUUGACAAAUUUAAGACAACUUUUGUUGAACGGAGGAAGUACAUACUUUUAUUUGUUCAACAACGUAAUGAGUGAAACAAAACCAAUGUCGAGAUCAUCUCUCGACUGACAACAAUGAAACACAAUACCAAAAAUCACAACAAACCCAAAUUAUAAGGUUUACUGAAAGCCCAGAAGGCAUGCUUCUACAGUACAGAGUGACUUCAGUCUGAUCCUUUUUGCUUGCUUCCUGAAAGCUUCAUUAACUGAAGGGUGUAACAUUUUACAAGAACUGCUUUAAGGGACAAUCACUUGUCCAAACCAAUCUCAUUAAGGGGACCUUCAUGCCAAUCCGUCCCAGAUUUCAUCAAUAGGUCCUGCACAUAAAUUAUAAUGGCACCUUCAAAUCCUUACACUUCUGAUAUCAAACGUUAGAAGAAUAUACACUAAUAGCACCUUCAAAGAAUCUUUUGGAGAGUUAGUACUGAUCUUAGAUUUCAGUUGCCAUUUCAUAUUGCUCGUCCACGAAGACGAGCCAGUCAUGUCCUGGUGCCAAAGCAAUUCUGCAAACACAAGCAAUUCUAAUAACCAUGUGACCACAUCAAGCACCUAUCUGUAUCAUGAAAAACCAGUGCAAACACAUACCGCGGGCACUGGUAGACGAUGCAUGCGGGUGCAGAUAUGACCGAGUUGAGUGAGCAUGGCAGCGCAUGCGAGCUUUUGGGCUGUCCAGUUCUGAUGGAGUAAGAGGUGCCCUUUGCAAAAGCUUUCUGCAAAAGCAAGUAGAUUCUGUAAUAUCAGCGCUAUGAGCCUGCAAUGGCCAUCGAGUAAAGGGUUAGUUUGUUUCUUACGUUAAUACUCAAGGUAGUAGUAGCAUCCUGCAGCUUUCUGCUCCGUGUCCUUCAUAGAUCCUAGCUUGUUAAUCCGGGGCCUGUAGGUUGUUGGAUCGGUCCUAAAUGUGACAUUUAGAUGCUGUGGCACAGACAAGUGAAAUUAUGUAAAAAAGAUUGCCACUGAAAUUGGCCGUGAAACCAUCAGAAUUAUUCAUCGAUUUGUCAUUUCAUCCUCCAAUACAAGCAUAAAGUACUACGGAGUAGUAGUCUAAGGGAGAGAGGAGGAAGAGUAUAUAGGACUUACUGACAGAAAACGGUUCAUUCCAGAAGCCAGGGGUUCUGGUGCAUUUGCAGCACAGUGAACAGAAGGUUUUCCCUCGAAAACGAGAACCUUGUCAGCGAGGUAGGCUGCCAUUACGAAAUCAUGCUCGGCAAUGAAAGCUGUUUUCUUUUGGUGAAGGAUAAACCUUUUUAUCACCUUUGAUGCAAGAAGGCGCUGCUCUGAAUCAAGAUGAGCACUUGGUUCAUCUAUAAGGUAAAUAUCAGCAGGCUGCAAACCAAAAAGAGAUCUUAUUAAAAGACAUCGAUAAUUAAAGGAAGCGAUCACUACAUGAAAAUGGAAUAUGUAAUGAUAUGUGUUACUUCCUAAUACAUACUAUACUAGUUAACGAUAAAUAUUUUUCAUUACGUUGGUAUACAGAUUCAUGAAUGAUCAGCAAUCUACUCAAAAUCUAUGUGGAACACCGCAUCUGCCAUUUACAUGUCUGGCCAUCACUCAAUCACUGCAUGGCUCCACUAUCUUUCAUAUUGUUUUAUUGGGUAACUUGUGUAAAUUUUCCUGUUGAAAACCCCAUGCUAGUAUGACACUCCUAUUAAUAACUCUAACAAGUAUGCCUCAGAUAGAAGUCUGAAAACAGUACGAUUCAGUUCUUGAAAAUCAUAGCAGUAAUACGACCCAUCCAGUCUAGUUAAAAAGGCGACAUGAAAAGCUUAACGGAGCAAUCCACCAAAAAGCAAUAUGAAAUGUCAGAUGAAAUUGCAUUUUUUUUGGCUUUAUCGGAGCAAAGUUCCUAUUUGAAGUUUCCUGAACACACUUACAAGACAAUAAUUAUUAAUGGAGCCAAAAAGAUGUUUGAGAUUCAUGUUAUCUUACUAGACUUUCUCAUCUAAGGCUUACAAGACCUACAUAUGCGGUUAGCAAUCUAAGGAUUUCUUAUCCUACUAGACUUUCUCAUCUAAGGCUUCCCAAAUCUGACUCUUUCUUAUCUAAGAGGAAGAGGUCCUUUGAGUCACUGGACCUCUGAUGCGACCAAUCAGUCGCUAUCACUCCAAAGGUAGACCAAAGACAAAGAAGCGGUCAACAUCCUCUGGAAUAUCUGGAAAGAGUGAAAGUGGAGGAUAUUCAAUGCAACCAGCCUAACAUCCUCUGGAAUACCUUCAAGGUGUAAAUCCUAAGAUGACUUUUCUUCUUGAAAUAUUAUCCAAGGGAAAGAACUGUAGGGGUGGGAGGUGAUCUACUAUUGUCCUACCUUUCCGAGACACAGACAGAGUUUGACCCUUUGCAGCUGUCCACCAGAAAGAUUGGCGACCUGCAUGUCCAUGAGUUCCUCAAUUUUCAGUGGUUUCAUGACAUCAGAUCUGAACUGAGCUUGUGUGCAUGAUCCACGUAUUUUCUCGUGUAUAAGGCCCCUCACUGUAGAGGGGUAUUUAGAGACCAAUUCCUGACGCUUGUAUGAGACACUAUAUGCAGGCAUGUCAACCUGCUCAUCACCUACUUUGUCUGGUUUCACUUCUCCCGCCUGAAAAAAAAAGAGAGAAAGAAACAACUGGUGAGAGUACUAAUCAAAAGUAAAUCUCUAGGCAUCUCCAACACAUAUUUGAGGGGGAGAAAAGGUUAUACCAGCAUACGAAUAAAUGUUGUCUUUCCGGUACCAUUCUCACCAAGCAUGACAAUUAUCUGGGAAUCAUUAAAGCUGCCUUGUGUGACUGAAAGCUUGAAGCCACGCCUUGUUUUCUUCAUGGUAGGAUACUUGUAGCAUUGGUAAUUCUGACCCUCUAUGAUCUCUUUAGUAGACUCAGUGACCUAAGAAGCAAAACAACAUUAGAUACAAAGCCCUUAACAUUUAUAAAAACGGUGCUCAGGAGACAAGGUUUGGUAAUGAUCCUGGCCCUUACUCUAAAUGUAAGUUUCUCCUCACGGAAACGCAAAUUUUCUGUUGGGAUAAAGCCAUUUAGGAAAAUGUUAAUUCCUUCUCUGACUGAAGAGGGUAAAGUAACAACACCAUAUGCUCCUGGAGUCCCAUAAAGACAGCAUAUGUAGUCUGAUAAGUAGUCAAGAAUGCUCAGAUCAUGCUCCACAACAAUUACAUAGCUGAAAAUAAGAUAAAAAUUUGUAAAUUAGCUCUGGAGAGAAUAACUCAAAUGUUAUGGCUGGCUUAUUUUCUGUGAGAUGCAUAUCCUCUUUACCUUUUGGGUUGAAGCAAGGAACGGAUAACUUCUGCAGCUUUGAGCCUUUGUUUCACAUCAAGAUAGCAGGAUGGCUCAUCGAAUAUAUAAACAUCUGCUUCCUCCAUAGCACGAGCAGCUAUUGCAAAUCUCUGGAGCUCACCACCAGAUAGAUCUGAGAUAUCGCGGUCCAUAACUUGAUUCAAUUCUAGAAUAUCGCACAAUUUGUCCUUCACUUGUCUCUCAUCUUUCGUAUUAAGAAAGUCCCCAACCUUCCCUCUAAAAGAUUUUGGAACGUUAAGAUACUGAGGUUUUAUAGUUGCCUGCAAACCAAGCACCGUAAACCGUUAGACAGAAAUAACACAGAUCAAUGUAAAGAUUACUACAUAAAGCUCAAAAUAAUUUGAAUACCAAAAUGGAAGAAACAAAGUCCUUUGAUUUCAGACUGCUGAUAUGUGGUCAAUUUUAUUGUGUGUCAGUACCAACAGCAAUCAAAAAGAAAGUAUUUGGGAAUCAGUGUGGAGAAAAAAUAUUGAUCAUGACCAUUUGAGCAAUGAAUUUGGAGAAAUGUGCUGACAAAGUGAAAAAAGCCCAGAAAUGAACAAGUACAUGUGAAUUAUCCUGAAAUGGUGAAAUCUCUACGGUGCAAUGUAGGGUACACAAGGUCAGGAACCCAACUUUGAAUCUCACUUCUACCUUCAAUUCAAAAGUGCUGUACUGUUGUUAAUAACUCUUAUCCCUCACAUUGUGUUAUUUUUUCAUCUAAAAUUAUUGUUCACAUCAGCAUAUUUCCUACUCCCUCCGUCCCACAUUAAGUGACUUUCUAUGACAUGUAUCUAGACGCUUUUUGGGUAUAGGUACAUCUAUAUUUGGACAAAUUUGAGUCACUUAAUAUCAGUGCACACUGAAUUUGUAAUGGGACAAAAAAUAUAUAUAUGAACAAAAUCUUUUUCUUUUGAGACAACGCAAAAGCAUCGCGUCUUGAUGCAUUGAUAGAAAGAAGGUCGAGUACAAGGCCAUGGAAGGGCCCACACCCCAGGAAUAAUAGAAACAAAAUCUUGAUGUUAAUCAAAUCGAGAAACUUCUUAAACAGAAAGACUGAAAAAGGUAAGAAUGUGAGCAUACAAGACAACAGAAGUCGGUCUAAAAAAACAAGACAACAGAAUACAAUGGAAAAUGAUAGCUUUUUAUAAGCUGCAUUAAUAAAUUAUAGUAGAAGUACCUUCAUGUUGUCUUUCCAUAGACGUGUAAAGUAUUUCUGAAGUUCAGAUCCACGGAAAUAGCUCAAAAUUUCAUCCGAAUUUGGGGAAUCCUGCAAAGGUCAUUCGUAGUUUCAUAGCCUAUAAUUGCUUCCACAGCAAGGAUUAACAAACAUAACUCAGUUCCGCUUACAGUGAAUUUUCCCAAGUUCGGUGUCAACUUCCCAGCCAAAAUAUUAAGCGCAGUCGAUUUCCCGAUACCGUUUGUCCCCACCAAGCCCAAAACUUGCCCUGGUCUUGGAACAGGAAGCCUACAAAAGGUUUAAGAGGUUUCAAGAAAUGUGAGUUAUAUAUGACAGUCACUAUCAAAAACAGCUCAGGAGCCAACAGUCAACAGCUACAAAAAUGGCCAAAAUGAAGUUCUAAUAUAAUUUCAUUUAGUGAGGUGAUUGAAUAUGAUAGACAUGGGAAAGAUUUGAGUACCUGUGAAGCUUAAAGGAAUUCGGUCCAUACCGAUGUGUCGUCUCUUUGUCAAGACCAUUUGGCAAGUUAAUAAUUUGGAUAGCAUUGAAUGGACACACCUGCAAGGUAACACAGGAAGAGUGUGUUAUAAGAACACCACACCUCAGGAUGAUUGUAUCCAUAAAUAACCCCAAAAGGAGUAGUUAAACCUUGACACAGAUACCACAUCCAAUGCAUAGUUCCUCCGAAAUUAAGGACACCUUCGAUGAUGGAGUAACUUCUAUGCACUGACGCCCUGUAAUAUAUAUAAAGAAUCAAAAGUCUGUCUAUAACAUAAACAAAGGCAACCUGAAGUGAUCACUCAAUACAUAAAUAAAUUCAUCUAGGGCUUUAACAUUUAACUAUGUUCAAAUAUUUGACAGAACACUUCAAUUAUAAUGUUAAGGUUCUGUUUCCAUUGGGAGACCUAGAGAUAAUGGUAAUCAUGCUCGAUUUAGCCGUGUUUAGAUAUUUGGAGUGUGGCUAGCUGUGUUUUCUUAAUCAAGUUGCAAAAAUGUGUAGUAUUGAAAAUAUCAGAUCGAAUAUGAGGACAUCCAUUGAAUGAUAUAAUUUUAUCUACUUAAUUGAUGAAAAAAAAAUUAUCUGCUUGAACAAAAUUAGUACUGAAGUUGACACCUGUUUUCCAUAGAAGGUUGAGAAAAGUAAAUUUCCUAAAUCAGUGCAAACAAUUCCAUAAAUGAAAACGAUGAAGACAUGCACGGAAGCGAGCCGUAACAGAGGCUGAGGUUUGAUAAUGAGCCCUGAGGAGAUAUUAAGUGCUUACUUUGAUAUUCAUUCUACUACUCUGUUACCUGCUCCGUGUUUAUUUCAUGCCAGUUGGUAUAAUUGGCAAGUUCAACCAAAUGAUCAAAUUUACAAUUUGUUCUUGGGUUUAUAAUACAGGAACCAACUUUUUGUAACAAUUUUAUAAGUAGUUCAAGUACAAAGUUUAUUUCUCCACUUUUGUUGCCAAUCAGUGACAUAAUUAUGAAAAAUUGGCAGUGAAACUAGAGAUCCAGAGAGGAAGGCAUAUUUCAGGAAUGGUAGAAAUGUGGCCAACCGGACUUGUGUAUCGAAGACAUUAAUCAAAGGGUGAAGGGAGUAGGUCCUUUUAAAGAUCAUGGUUAAUUAAGUUUAGUUGGUUUGAAACUUGAAAUAUACUGCAAAGAGGGGAGCCACCUUUCGUUUCUUGUUUACAUUCCAAGAACACCGGGAUACAUAUCAGAUAUCACAUAUGGGAGUGAUGUAUUUAUAGAAUCUGGAUUUUUCUCAUGGGACUCACAUAAAUAUUUAGUCUCGAAGUGAAAUUUCUUCCCUAAAAAUAGAAGAGAAAUGGCCCAAAUUUCAUUGAAAAGCAGAAGUUCAGAACCCUCUACUACUACCGUCAUUGCGGAAUUUCCACUCUGCUUCUUUUAUGCUUAUGCACAAAUUUGAAAUUCAAAAGACUAUUUGGCGCGUUUCAGGGUGGACCCCCAGAAUUAAAAGUAAUAAAUUGUAAUAUCCUGAUUUUCAGUCAAUUGUUUUUCAUAAGCAAGGGAUGUUACAGCAUACUCUAUGUCAAUAAAGUACCUUGAUUGGAGUUGCCAAAAAAUAAUUCCAAAUGUGUUUGGAAUUGAUUUAGCAUAGGAAAAAAAGGUGAAAUACAAUUCCUUAAUACACGUUUUGACUUUUGGCAUUGUAAGAAUCUUCAUCGAAUUCAUAUCUUCAACUUGAGUUACAGACUUCCUUUUCUCAGAUUUUUUUUUCUCUCGGUUUGAAUUCAGAUUUGCAUCAAAUUUAAUUAUGCGAUUUAUGCAAUUAAAAGAUCAAUCUUGCACUAUGGGCUGAAUUCCCUAGCCCAUCUCUUUUUCUCUUUCCUAGGCCUUGCCCAUUUUAAUUUUUUCCCACCACUUCGUCUUCCUCCUCUGUGCUGCCCCAAAUCAAUAAACCGACACCAUGACUCUUCCCCUGCCCCUUCAGUUUCUUCCCAACCAAUGGCUCUGCUUCAAAACUCUGGUUUCCCCUCUAAAUUCCCUCUCUCCCUGCGCAACGGAUUCUUUUGGUUUUCCAUCCCCUGUGCAGGCCAGCCUUACCACAACUUAGAGCAUAAUCGGCGUCGGUCCUCCCGUCCGAUGCUAGCCAGGUAAUCACCGCCAUCUCAAUCGCAGCAGGGCUCUCAUUCCAUUUUUACCAUCACCACGCACCCGCAGAUGUCCUUUCUUCGGCAAGCGCCUGCACCUAAACUCACCUCUUUUCUUCUAUAGCCAGCGACUGGGUUGGUUUAGAAGGUUUAGUUCCUUGACCUAAUUAGGAUAGCCUACAAGGGCACUUAGGGGUUAGGGCCUUUGUGUCGAAACUAAACCUUCUAAACCAACCCAGUCGUUGGGAUUAGAACAUGAUCUAUCCUGGUGCUGCAUAAUUAAAUGGAAUAAUACGCCACUAUACAUACAUGCAGAUUUAUCUGCCAAUAAUCUUGAUGAACAAAAACAAUUACUUGCUACACAAAGGCACUAAGUGCCCUUGUAGCCUAUCCUAAUCAGGUCGAGUAACUAAACCUUCUAAACCAACCCAGUUGCUGGCUAUAGAAGAAAAGAGGUGAGUUUAGGUGCAGGCGCUUGCCGCAGAAAUGACGGCUGUGGGUGUGGGGUGAUGGUAAAAAUGGAAUGAGAGCACCGCGGCGAUCGAGAUGGUGUUGAUUACCUGACUAGCGGCGGACGAGAGGACCGGUACCGAUUAUGCCCUAAGUUGUGGCAGGGCUAGCCUGUAGAGGGGAUGGGAAAUCAAAAAAAUCCGCUGCCCAAGGAGAGAAGGAAUUUAAAGGGGACACUGGGGUUUUGAAGUAGAGCCAACUGAAGGGGCAGGGGAAGAGUUAUGUUGUCGGUGUAUUGAUUUGGGGUACUGCGUUACAGAGGAGGAAGACGAAGUGGUUCUUGCAGGUUUGGGUAAGUGUUGCGAAAAAAUUAAAAUGGGCAAGGUAUGGGCUAGGGAAUUCAGCCCAUCGCCCAAGAUUGAUCUUUUAAUUCCAUAAAUCGCAGACUUAAAUUCGGUGCAAAUGUGAAUUCAAAACGAGAGCAAAAAUCUGAGAAAAGGAAGUUUGUAACUCAAGUUAAACAUAUGACUCUAACGAAAAUUCGUACAAUGCCAAAAGUCAAGUAAGGGUAUUAAGGAAUUGUAUUUCCACCUUUUUUUCCAAUGCUAAAUUAAUUCCUAACACAUUUGGAAUUAAUUUUUGACAAUUCCAAACAAGUUACUUUAUUGAAAUACAGUAUGCUGUAACAUCCUUUACUUAUAAGAAAAAAUUUACUAACAAUCACGAUGUUACAUGAACGCAUACUAAUCACGCAGACGGAAUAAUCCAAAAUCUAAGAAGCAGCGAGCACAAACCGGUGGCGUUGACGGGACACCGCUUGCGGCACUGCUGGCCGCACUUGCUUGGCCGGCACCGUUCCUCCACCACCACCGCGAUCCGGGUCGACCGCCCCGACAUAUAUCCCCGAGCGCCUCACCCUCCCGUCGAUCUAUUCGCUGGAUUUUGGGGGAGUAAAACUCUGGCCGUUUGGCAACAAAACCGGUAUUUGCGGGAGGGGAAAUAAUGGGACCGUCUGACGGCGUGGGGGAUCGCGUGGCGUGCUAUAUGUACCUGCGCGAGGAAUUUGGAUGCCGUGGGGUUCAAGUUUCGGUCACCUCGAAGGCGGACCAGGUCGCUGCUCCGCUCCAAGCCUCCAAUAGUCAUGGCCUUGACGAUCCAAACCACCAAAUCACAGACGUGACGAACCUGUUGAACUUCUGUUGCUAUAUUUUUAUACUCCGUAUCUUUUUCAUAAGUAUUUGUAGUACUGCAACGGAACAAUUAUACAAAUUAUAACAAAAAAUUAUUGAUGCAACACCGUUGACCAUCCUAAUCAAUUCCGAUAUUUUUGGUCUGGACAAAAAUUCAACUAAAAAAUUAUCUUUGUCAUGGGCCUAGACACCUAACCCAUGUCAAAGCCUUUGCCGAGUGUGACUCUUGGCAAAGUCACGACACCGAUCCAAGCGACCGUGCCGUCACGGAUCGUUAACGUGGCAUCAUCACAACCUUAUGAUUUUCAUCUCUCUUCUCUCCCUUUCUUUUUCUUUUUCAGUACCGUACGUCUUCUCCUCUCCUCCGUCGAUGUCUCUCAUCUCGAUCUCUCUUCUCCGCCUCUAAUCCCAACGGGGCUGCCAACUCCAUGUCCGCCUCAGACCGCCGCCCCUCUCCAAAUGUGGACCCCUUUAGACCAUUGAUCUUAGAUUGAUUUGCCCGUUUGACCCUUUGAUCGAGGUGCUGACCCAAACCAGAUUUCUGCAAGCUGUCAUGUGGACCUGUGGCCCACCGUGCAGCGCAUUUUCCCCACCCUCUCCCGCUGACAAACAGGCCCCACCCCCAUCUUUUACUUCCUGUAGCCACAGCGCCCCCGUCGGCCCGCCCUUCUUCAUGUGCACCCGUCAUCUUCGCCACUGUGCCAGCAUGGCCGACCGUCGCCUCCAGGACCACGCCUGCCCCCUCCGUUCCUAUCCACCCCGAGGCGCCCUCCUCCUUAUCUAUCUCCACCCCGCUCUACUCUCUCUUCUCCCGAAGAUCUCCCUCUCGAAGCCCUGCAGCUCAUCGUUUCUUUCCCCAUCGAAGCCGUUCUCUCCCCCAAGUCCGAGGAGCUCGCCCCAUAGCUCCAGGCGCUCCCCGUGGCCCUCGAAUCCACCGCACGUCUCUCCAUCUCCCUUCGAAGCCGCGCCUCCAGUUCCUGGAAGCCAACCCGCUUCCAAUUUGUCGCGGCCGUAUCGUCUCCCUCGUCUCCAGCGGGAGCGCCACCACUCUCCGAUCCACCACCGCAGCGCUUCUGCACCUCUCCUCCGCGCAUGAGAGAAGCGCAUCGACUCCAGGAGCUCACGUGCGUCCUCGCCCGUGCCUCCCGCGCGCCAGAAUCUCCCCUACGUCAAGCUUCUCCGCCGUCCGCCGAGCCCCCUCCACCGUGCCUCCGCCAAGACCGGGCAUGCCCCCGAGUUCGUCUUGUCCAUGCGCACCUCGAGACGAACCCCUGGCCCCGUGUGCCGGCUGAAUCUCCCGCGCGGCCGCUGUCUUCCUCAACUUCGGCGCCGCCGCAUCUCCACUGCACCGCCAUCUCCACUGCCCGCCUAGAUAGACUACGGGACGUAUGUACGGGCGUUGCCGCUUUGGGCAUUGUUUAUGUGCCGUGUGAGUGGAGGAGGAUCGUGGAGGAGUGCCCUGUGCGAGGCGGAGAGGGGCGGGUGUGCGAGGUGGAGAUGGAUUGCGGAUCGGCAGGUGUGCGAUUAAAAGAUGAUUCGGGGUCACGGCGCAUGCGUGGGCGGGACGGGCGUGGCACAGAGGUGUAAUUUUUUCAUGGCAGAUUCGUAAUUUCAGUGAAGUGAUGUACCGCGAUGUCCGUAUCAUCACCGCCAACUCCAAUUUAAUAUAUCAGUAUAGAUUUAGACGUAUUUUAGUAUAUAAAUAUGUCUGUUUUAAAUAAAUUUGAAUCACUUAAUAUGGGAAGGAGGGAAUACUUUGCACGUCGACGGACUGAGAGUUGUCCGUAAAUAGUUGGAUAGGAUCCUCGUUUAUUUAGGUUAGAGCAUCCUCAGUAGAUUGUGUAUAUCUGGUUGUCUAUAUGAAUGAAGAUAUAAACAAUAGUCUUAAAAAAUUAUGUUUCAACAUAUUAUAGUUUUUCAUCAGCUUGUCUGUAUUUACAUUGUCUAUAUUAUCUCUCCUAUGUUAUAAUAGCAUCCCAUUCAACUGCUGUUUCAGCAUCUUCUUCCUCCCACGAGCAACAGCACCCUUGUUCCUCCCACCACCAGCAGCAGCGGCGCCCUUCCCCUCCUCCAUCUCCCUCAUUGCAGCGCCUCCAUUCUUCCUCGCCACGAGAAGCAGCAGCAGCCCCUUCUUCCUCACCACGAGCAGCAGCAGCGCCCCCUUUCUUCCCCACGAAGAGCAGCAACAGCGCCCCUCCCCUCCUCCAUCUCGCAUGCGGCGGCGCUCCCUCCCCUUUUCCAUCUCCUCGACGGCGGUGCUCCCUCUCCUCAUCCAUCUUCCCGGCGGCGGCGCCCCUACCUCCCUCGUUGCUGCCCGAAUCAGCGGCGCCCCAACCUCCCUCGUGGCUGCUCGAAUCAGCGGCGCCUCCUCCCUCCUCGGAUCCCCCUAGGCGGCGCUGGAUUUGGGCGUCUUGGGCUGGAACGGACGAACGGUUGGGGGCUGGACUUUCAGGAUGUGGGCGGGAGCGAGCGCAUUGAGGAUUUGGACGUCGUGGCUUGAUAGUCCAAAUGUGGACGUCGUGAGGGUGAAUUUGGACGAUGUUUUAGACAAUCAUAUACACAAAGCCGGUGGAGAGAGGUUUUGCUUGUCUAAAUAGCAUAUAGACCACCAUGUCCACAAGCGGCCGAGGAUGCUCUUACAAACGCGAGCCGCGAACAGUACAUUUUUUUAUCCUUCUGCUCGAAAUACUGCUCGAAAUACAUGUACAUUAAUUUGACAUUGUCCUAAGUGAAAACUUAUUAACUUUGACCAAAUUUGUAGAAAGAAUCACAUUUAUAUACAACACAAAACUAGUACCGGUAGUACUAUUAUCAAAUAUAUUUUUAUAUCGCAUUUAUUUGGUUUUAUAGAUGUUGGUAUUUUUUUUUGUAAAAUCGGUCAAAGUUGAGAAUGCUUGACUUGGAACAACCCCAAAUUUAGAUAUUAAGAAAUGGAGAGAAUAGUUCAAAUUUUUAAAUCUUUUUUUAUCCAGUUUUAAAAUGGGAUAUCGCGAAUGGCUCUUCAAUUUUCAAAUCUUUGCUAUUCAAAAGUUUGAAUAUUAUAAGAUAUAAAAUUUGAACUAGAAGUGAGUCGUCCACGGGGUCCUGUUUGCCCUACAUUUGCUGUGAUUCAUACCAACCUAAACCAGUUUUUUCGAUCAGUGACAUCGUAUGCUUUCUCUCAUGUUUGCUCUUUGUUGGUUGUCUACUUAACCGUUUUUGUCUAUUUUAUUUAUUGUGUGGCAAACUGAUCUUUUUCUACUUCUAUGUCUAUUUCUCACAAACAAAAAAUAGAUAAGGUCAACACAACAAAGUUCAACAACCACGUACAGAGGCUUACGCGGUCGACGGGCAAUCAGUUGUCUGUGCUAUGCCUGGAAAGAGAACAUGCAAUGUCUUCUGUCCUAAAUUACGUUGUGUGUCAAUAAAAUGUGACACUACUAAUCCAAUUUUUUUCUAAAGGUGUAUAUAUUAUUAAGAACCAAUAUGCACACAAUCAUUCGUAAUCCAGUACAUCGCACGGGGCGGCACGGAAUUACACAACACACCUCCAAGGCGCACCUUACAAUAGUAGCUAGCUAGUAGCUGGUGAGCCACAAAAUUGUUCUCUCUUUAAGUACAAAAGAAACAAAUGCUAGGAUCGAAAGUACUUCACAGAAUAACUCACAUAAUUUUUUUCUCAUUUGUUCCACAAUACACUUCAUUUUUCUCUUCGCUCCCACGCCUAGCCAAUAACUAUGCACAUCCAUUUAAUUUUGACCCAAUAGGAAUGAUCAGACACUAGAAACGAGAUCUUUCUUGGUCCAAGUGCAUAAAACUAUAUGAGGUGUAUUGCAGAACGGAGGAAGUAGUGAAAUGAAGAAUGUCAGCCACCACUAAACAUCUUGAAGAGAGGUUAUCCGCCAAGGAGUUAAGAGCCUGAAUCAAGAAGAGGCGGUCACUUUCAACAAUCAAGGCGCCGGGGAGUGUUGCCUGGCGUCUUAGGACAACGAGCGAUGGUGUCCUAAGCUGACGGAAUUACAAUGCCAUGUUCAUCACGAAAAACCGCACCCCAAGUACCUGUGUCCACGCCCGACAAAAAGCUAGCAUCCAGGAAUCCAUUGUCUUUGAUGUUUUCAGGUUUCUUGAUUUAUAGUGAGCAUUUUUAUGAGCAUCUUAUAUUCAUGUUGCACCCAGAUCAUAGUUUUUUGGGGUUAUGAAAAAACAGUAGCGGAUAGACUAUUUUACAGGCAAAGAGAUUCGGAAAUGGUAGAAAAGGUUUUAGAGAUGGGUAUAACACACAGCCCCAGUCUGAUAAAAUAACUCGGUGCUCCUUGCUAUCGACUCCGCUACACAGAAUUGUUUAAUUCCGUCCUCCUGGCUCCGGCAAUGGUGCCUGGUUAAUAUAUGCAUAGCUACGCCGCAAAGGGAGGUCCUUUUCGAUCCUUUGCUGCCCUGCGUCGAUGCUUGUCUCGCACUUGGACAAAAAGGGACGGUGGAACCAGAAACGUAAACAGAUAUGAAAUCUGACCCAGUGCAAGUGCAAACAAGAAUCGUUGCAAAACAAAAGCCACGGCCUUGGCUUCGAGCCUUCGAUAGCCCCUACCGUUACCGUAGGCGUAGCAACAACAGGCAGGGGAUCCGUUAUAGCUCGUCGGCCUCAAUUAAAAAGAAGCAGCAGCCACACCCACACGGGAUCCGGUUAACCCCCAUCGUCCAUCGACAAAAACGCUCCAGGUCCAGGGGUUGCUCUGCUUCUCCACUUCAGUUCAUCGUCUUGCCCCCUGCCUCGGCUUCCCUAUUCCCCAAAUUUUCAGCCGACCUCUGCGAUUCCGGCACACGGGCGGCGCCGGCCUCUUUGGCGGCUGGCACCGGCUUCGAUAGACCGUGGUCCUGGACACCCUCGUCGACGCCGGGGAGGGCAGGCGCUGCCGGUCUCAACUCCGGCCGGGCCUCCUCAUUCCACCGAGGCAAGAUGAGGGAGCUCCGGGUCGUUCUCCUGAUUCUAGUGAUAUAUCUGCCUUCCUUCUCCGCUUCUGAUAGCCAAGGUAUAGCUUCCCCUCCCUUUAAGGUCACACUCUCUUAGUCUUAACAAAUCGCCUACCUCGAGUUUCUGUACUAUGAAGGCAUUAUAUAUAUACGUAGUACGUGUUACGGUUGACCAAUUCUGUUUGUUUUUGUUAUGUCUUGUCGUGAUGGGGCAGAAAUCAUCUCUUGUCGCUAUGUAGUUUAUUUUUUGGCUUACUCUUCCUUGAUGGGGACCUCUAGUACGGCUGCACAUGCUGCUUUCAAUGAUAAGGACACCCAUCUCUGCCCUCCAUUUCCGUUCUCUUUUCGCCCUGUCCCGAAAAAUCGAAACAACAGUGCAAGCUUUUAGCGUGGGAAUGCAAUGUUCAGUUCAGGAAUCAAACAUUUUUAAUCGGACUUAAAAUUUAAGCAUUCCACUCCAACUAAUUGAAGCUCUACAGUCUACAGUAUAUCUAACUUCCAGCUAAACAAAUUCACUUUCGACAUCAUCUUAAGAAAUCAAAACAAUCAACUGAAAGCCCAUUCAACUCUAGUUUUGUACUGUAACUUUCAUACUAAGUCAAAUUAGGAUGCUGGAACUUUCACCUGGGGUUUUGGUGAAGAGGAAGAACAAAGGGGGACAGCGAGGGAGAAGUAGAACCACAUGGGAUCACGGCUAACCGUGACUGCAAACGUGCACAAUGGCUUUUGCAAUUGCCACAUCAGCCUUUUAGCAGUGGAUGUGGCAGCAGCUUUUUCCUGGUGAGGUGGGAAUGCCUCGGCAAGGAGGAGGGGGCAGUGGUGGUUUUUGGCAAGGCUGUGGAAGGAGUAACAGAUGGUGGACUGCUAUGCCGAGCGUUGAUUCAUGAGAACAAGGAAAGAAGCUUGCAGAAUAUGUGUCAAAGAAAAAUAAUCACAUGGAACUGAAAUUUGUAUACUCAGUAGUGGCGCAUCUUUGUGCACCUUGUUGUAAUGGAAAUAAAUCCUAUGAGACCUCAGUUUUGGACACUUAUGGGACCCCUUCUAAAUAAUGAAACAUGAUGAAGAGACUUAGAUAUUAAGAGCUACUCCCUCCGUUCCAUAAUUCUUGUCUCAAAUUUGCUCAAAAAUUGAUGUAUCUAUUUCUAAAAAGUGUUUAGAUACAUGUAAUAUUUCGACAAGAAUUAUGGAACGGAGGGAGUACUUAAGUCCUGGCUUUCUUGCCGUACCUACCUCAAAAGGAAAGUUACUGUAAAUAUACUAAUAUAGAAAUUUAGUGUUAAAUGAUAAUUUAACCGCCUCCCACCACCUGUCUCUCUCCAGUCAUAUAUUAAUUAUAGUCAAAAUUGUAUUCUUCAAUGAAGAACAUUGGCUGGAACUGUUGAGGAUAAUUUGGGCAUUUUAAAAUCUGAUGACCAUGGUGGAAUUUAAUUUCAAGUCAUAUGCACGAGUUUCCUUUAGUUUCAAAUAAAGUUCUUGCUCACAAUUGUGUAACUAAUUUUUUUUUCACCAGGGGAUGCGUUGUAUGAUAUAAAGCGAAAACUGAAUGUUACCGGCAGUCAGCUUUCAGAUUGGAACCGGAAUCAAGUUGACCCUUGCACAUGGAAUUGUGUGAUUUGUGACAAUAACAACAAUGUUGUUCAAGUGUAAGUGGUAGCCCCAGUAUCUUGUAUUAUUUGUUUUGUUUCUCAUGUCGAUGUUAUCCAAGUGCUGAUGUUUCCCUUUUUCAUAUCCUAAUUGUUUUGGGUCUGUGCUGAUAAUUUCCCACAGAUCAGUGUCUGGUCAAGGAUACACUGGAGUUUUGUCACCAAGGAUUGGAGAGCUCGUGUAUUUGACUGUUCUGUAAGUUCAUUCUCUUAAUAUGUCAAUUAAUAGCCUGAGAGCAUCUAACAAGAUUGCAUAAACUCAAGAAAAAUCUAGUAAUCUAACAAUCAAUUUAUGGAGACUUGUUGCUUCGAGUUCACCCUAUGUUUCCAUGCAGAUGCUUCUAGUUGUGCGGUCUUUUGUAGUAGUAGAACCGAUAUCUAGCGUAAACAAGAUCAGAUUGGGCUAGUCAUUUAUGCGACUAAACCCUAAUGAACACAUUCUAGCAAUUUUAUAGUACUUUGAAGGAGUAGAAUUGCUGAGUAUGACAUAAAAUUAUGCUAAUUAAAAUGUGGUUCUCCAAAUAAUUCCUCCCAACUAUAGUAUUAUGAAACCCUUUAGGGCCUGCUUGGAUUGUUGUAUUUUCAGUGGGAGGGCUGGUAUUUAGUUCUUCCAAUUUCCAAGCAGGGCCUUAGUGUGUGAUCUUGCAGGUCAUUGGCUGGAAACAGGAUUACUGGUGGCAUACCACCGCAACUUGGUAAUCUUUCUAGGCUGACAAGCUUAGAUUUAGAAGACAACAUUUUAGUUGGAGAGAUACCAGCUUCUCUCGGUCAGCUUUCUAAGCUCCAGCAGUUGUAAGUAUAUUAAAAACCAUUGUUCAGAACUGGUUAUUAAUAAAAUUAAGAUGAUUUGUCUAUUCCAUGCUUUAUUCAUUUCUAUCUCUUAACCAGGUUCCUAAGCCAGAAUAAUUUUAGUGGGCCAAUUCCUGAUAGCCUAAUGAAAAUCUCAGGCUUGACUGACAUGUAAGAAUGUCCAUUGCUAAGUAUGAGUUCUUUUGAACUUCUGGCUCUACUAAAAUGAGUUCAUUUACAUAAGCUUGUCAUAUGCUGACAAGCAAUUUUCUUGCGAUUGCAGUGGGCUGGCGAACAAUAAUCUUUCUGGUCAGAUACCUGGUCUGCUGUUUCAAGUAGCACGUUACAAGUAUCUCAAGAUCGUUCUAAAAGUUAUUUCGACCCAAGUUGUUUUAAUCUGAGUGACUGAUAAUGGCUUUACUUUGAUUGACAGCUUUUCCGGUAAUCACUUAAACUGUGGAACCAACCUACCCCACCCUUGUGCAACCAACAUACCCGAUCAGAGUAAGUUGGAUCCUUAUUGGUCUAGCUAUAGAUUUACUCAUGCAGACUAGUUUUGUUGGAUGUUUGUCUUACAUAUUACAGGUGCCAACUAGAUCUUUUUAUACAGGUGUCUCCCAUGGCUCAAACGUUAAAGUUAUACUUGGUACAGUUGGAGGAAUAAUAGGACUUCUCAUUGUAGUGGCUCUUUUCCUAUUCUGUAAGGCUAAGAACAAAGAAUAUCUACAUGAACUUUUUGUGGAUGUACCAGGUAAUGUUUUCAUGCCUUUGUCUUUCAUGUAUUGUCCUUAUUAGUAUCCCUGCAUUAGUUAGUCUUGUUAAUAGAACCGAGAUUCUUAUAUAAAAUUGGCUUGAUAUAUAGAAUUGUGAACCUACCAAAAACAAGCAAGUACACAACAUAGUUAUUUAGAGAAGCAAAAAACGAUUUCUUGAACUCAGGGGUAUAAUUAAUACAUGUGAACACAUAGGUUUAAGCUAAACCUUAGUGAUUUCUCAUUAAACAAGCGGGGCUGUCCUAGGUUCUGAAUGGAUUAAUCACAAGAGUUCCAAGUUUGCAUGGUAGCAUUGAACUAACUUAUCAUUUUAUGAUCCCCAGGAGAGGAUGAUCGACGAAUUACAUUUGGCCAGAUCAAAAGAUUUGCAUGGCGAGAACUACAAAUAGCGACUGAUAAUUUCAAUGAAAGAAAUGUUCUUGGAAAGGGAGCUUUCGGGAAAGUUUAUAAAGGAGUUCUUCCAGAUGGAACAAAAAUUGCUGUAAAGCGGUUGACUGAUUAUGAAAGGCCUGGUGGGAUGGAUGCCUUCUUGCGUGAGGUGGAGCUGAUUAGCGUUGCGGUUCACAGGAAUAUCCUAAGGUUGAUUGGCUUCUGCUCAACACAAGCAGAACGCCUCCUGGUCUAUCCAUUUAUGCAGAAUUUGAGUGUUGCCUACUGUAUACGAGGUAUCAUUGUUGGACUUAUCCACCCCGCACUAUUCUAUUACUCUAUUAAGUUGGUGACAUGUUCCAUCUGUAUUGUUUGGUUUUCCGUACUACUACCUUCGUCCUUUUGUAGUGGGCAUGCACGCAUUUCAAAAUUCAAUUUUGACCACUAAUUAGACCAAUAAUAUGUAGUUUGUGUACCACAAAAAUAUUAUGAUUGGAUUCGUAUUUGAAAAAAGUUUUUGAUGGUAUAACAGUUUUUGAUUCAGAAAAAGUUUGAUGCCAUAAUCUACAUAUUAUUGGUGUAAUCGAUGGUCAAGGUAAAAUUUUGACAUACAUGCACGCACACAGUUAGGGGAUGGAGUGGAGGGAGUAGCAAUAUUUCAUCAUUUGCUUAUUUGUUAAUGAUGCAGAUUGAACCUCUCAGUUUUAACAUUUUACUGGGCAUUUGUUUCUGGAGUUAAUUUGUUAGAACUGCAGACUGCUGUGCUAGUGCUGACAAAUAAAUUUCAAAACGUUGGAAAUGUAUUGAUUAGUUGAGGUUUGUUCUUUGUUCAGCAUCAUGUGUCAUUCUUAGUUUAUAAUGUCCAUUGUGCUGAAAAUGACGCAGAGUUUAAACCUCGUCAUUCUUAGUUUAUAAUGUCCAUUGUGCUGAAAAUGACGCAGAGUUUAAACCUGGAGAACCCAUCUUAGACUGGUCAGCUAGAAAACGGGUGGCCCUAGGUACAGCACGUGGACUUGAGUAUCUACAUGAACACUGCAACCCCAAGAUCAUACACCGUGACGUCAAAGCUGCGAACGUCUUGCUUGAUGAGUACUUUGAACCUGUUGUUGGUGAUUUUGGCCUAGCGAAGCUAGUAGAUGUGCAGAAGACAUCUGUGACAACCCAAGUCCGUGGAACUAUGGGUCACAUAGCACCUGAGUAUCUGUCCACAGGGAAGUCGUCGGAAAGGACGGAUGUUUUUGGUUAUGGGGUCAUGCUUCUUGAGCUUGUGACUGGACAGCGCGCAAUUGACUUCUCUCGCAUGGAAGAAGAAGAAGAGGUGCUCUUGCUCGGUCAUGUAUGCCUCGUUGGCUUUUCCAACAUUUAAUCCAACCGAAUUCCGUGCCUUGUUAUGAUUGGGAUGUAACUAAAUGUAGGUAAAGAAGCUACAGAGAGAAGGGCAGCUACGGUCCAUUGUGGACCACAACCUGGGUCAGGAUUAUGACAAGGAGGAGGUUGAGAUGGUGAUACAGAUAGCAUUGCUCUGCACGCAGGCGUCGCCCGAGGACCGUCCGUCGAUGUCAGAAGUGGUUCGGAUGCUGGAAGGCGAGGGUUUGGCGGAGCGUUGGGAGGAGUGGCAGCAGGCAGAGGUGACAAGGGGGUGGCCCUAUGAUUACGGGUGGAGCGAAGACUCCCAUUACAAGCUGGAAGCAAUACAGCUGUCUGGAGCUAGAUGAUAACUGGCAAUGAUGGACAUGUCAUCACCGUAGAGUUAGAUACUAAAAUGCAAACAACCUUGUGGAUCCAUAAUACGUGGAGAAAUAUUUAACAGAUAGAUCAUAUAUGGAUAUAAUACCUGCAUUUGUAUGGCUGGGCAUUAAAAUUGGACCGUAGAUUUUCUAUGUAAUCACCGUGGAUCCAUAAUAUGUGGAGAAAUAUUUAACAGACAGAUGAUAUAUGGCUACAUAUCCUAAUAUGUGAAUAUAUGUGCACCUCCUGGAAGUUGAAAUGGCACCACCUAGUUUAAAAACCUCCUAUACGGAAUUGUAUGAGUUCUAGAGUUUUAUUCUCUCGGUCAUUUGGUGCAGAUACGUGAAAUAAAAAAAUGAUAUUAUGAAACCUACACUAAAGAGUCAAAAAGCAUCGAGAUUUUAUAGCUGUUGGACACAAGCAAUACAUGUUUGCUGCAGUAAGAGUUUGGAUUUAUCCAUGGCGAAGAGUCACCAAGUUUCCUACACACUCCUGCACUGAAUGCGCCGGUUUGUCUCCUAUACCAUUGCUGCCACGAGCAUACAAAAGGCCGUUGAUGAUUGUGGGGAUGUUUGUAAGUCCAUACAUGAGCUAACGUCGUCUAUAUUAUUCAGUAGUUCCGAUCCACAUUUUGAUGGUCCAAAUGUUACCAUGAAUCAUGACAGCUAGCUGAGAAGCCAGCACUUUCUAUAGAGCCCUCCGAUUAUAAUAAGUGUCGUUGAUUUAGUAGGAAAUUACCACCAUCAUUGCCCUAAUGGUUACACAAGCAAAUUUUCAACCACCCGCUAUAGAUAAAUGCUGCAUUGCAGCGCACCACAGUUGCUGGAAAAAACUACAGUACUCUGAACAAUAGCUACCAAACAAGUCUUUAAUGCUUGGACAUGUAAAGCCUUGAUGUUCAUCAAAAAAAUUCAGCAUAUUUCAAUGCAAAAUGAAACAAAUAUCGUAAGAGAUUAAAACAAUAUGCCAGAAGUUGGUACCCUGAGCCAGAUAUUCAUCGCCCCCCUCUGAUAGCAGAAUGAGCACAACCUGGAUAUUUACCCUUCCUGGAGUAGAUGCCGAGAUACAUAAAUCCCAGAUCACCCUGUUCAUCAGAUUAGUAUAUAGUGAAUAUGGUGCCGAAAAUAAGGAAAAUUAAGAUGUGACCAAGCAAUGGGUGCAGGAUAGUAGUAACCAAGAACCUUAAUUAGACCAACCUAAGAAGAUGAGACUUUCAGGUAAGUGGUUUAAAGCUUCAUUUUAGAGCAUAUUAUUAUGCUCCAUCAAUUGCAAGUUGCAAGGUGUAUUUUGAGCGGACACAAGGAUUAUAUUUAUAAAAAACCAAGAGAAAAGCAAGAAUAUUAAUCAUACAAUCCUUGCUGUUUGGUAAGGGGAACAAAUGGAACAUACUUCCUCAUCUGAAAUCCAUCUCAAUGCUGAUGAUAGAGUCCCCGAGUCUGUCAGUAUCCUUAGACACUUUUGCCUGGCAGUUCAAUGCACUGCUUUGUUCUUCAGGACCCCUAGGUUUAAAACAGCUAAUGGCUUGAAAUUAUGCUGCAUAUUUCUUGGGUCACUAUAUAUCCACAAAACUAGGUUCGCUCACUAUAUUUCAAACCUGGUACAUUAACAAGAACAAGAACACUAUAAUGGGAGGAAAAGUUAAAGAUCUAUAAGUGUGUCAAAUCAACAGGAUCUACACAAAUUAUAGUGCAAAGAGUCAUUCAGUAAAAAUAUUGUGUAAAAUAUACUUUACAGUGAUAAAACAAGAAGGCCUCAAGCCCACAGGGGAACUGUUUAGUUAAAUUGCCAAAUAAACAAUCUAGUACACCGAAUAGCAGGUCCUUGUGGCAAUUUAGAAUGCUAUUUGCCUGACUAAGACUAGUCAUAAGUAGGUGAAGACAUGCUGGGUCAGCAGUGAAGCAAAUGCAUAAACAACCAACAUUGCAUUUUCUUCUUUUAAGCAGUAUAGGGAACAAGGUAUGAAAUUUGUAAACAGGCAAGGAUUUCAUUGCAUAAACCAUUAUUAACAAAUCAAAUGUAAAAUUAACCACGAACUUAAUGUUCAACAUCAGCCACAAGCAAUCACGGGUGAUUUUUUGAACGCAAGUACCCAACUAAGAAAUUCAAGCAUUUUUAACAGAAUAAGAAGACGAACCAACUAGUAGGUAGUUAAACAUAAAUCUGCAUAGGCGUUAAGCAUUACACAAACCUGGCGAACAAGCUUUUUUAUUCAAAAAGGACCUGGCGAACAAGCUAAAAUAAGUAUAUUUUCAAAACAGAAGCAUAACAAGUGUUAGUGUUGACUCAAUAUUAAAGAUGAAUAAUACAUAUAGCUUAGCGACAAGCAAUGCUACUAAACAACGAAAUCACUUUCUGACAGUCACAAACUUAUAACCGGAACAUGGGAUGCAAAAGCAAUAUGCACAGGUUUAACAGUGAAAAUAGUACUGAGAAUAGACGACCAGUGUCCAAUUCGUGUACCUACUUUCUACCCAGUUGGGCAAUCGCAAGGUUCAGGUGAUUAGCUUGCUGGAGUUUAUCUGCAAUGCAAGAAGAUCACAUUUUUAAGCAAUACUCUGAACUGACAAGAAGCACUGUAAGAUAAUUUUCAGCAGGGCAACCUUUAGGAAGAUGAAUUCCCCCCUCCUCAAAGUCAAUACACAAGGUGUUUGCUGCCCAUGAGCUUCCUGCCUUCCUCUGUGACCAGAUUGCCAAGCUCGCAGGUGCAGAAGUCCUGGGGACCCUGGCCUAUGCAAACUAGUAACUUUUUUAUGUGGUUUCUAGGUACAUUAGGUCCUCCAGCUGUUCAAGGCACCUCUUCCUUUAUACGUGGUAAGCCAAUAUUUGAUGCAUUUGUUUGAAGUUAUGUUUCUCUAUUUAAAUUGACAACUUAAGAGACUAUAAACUGACAGUUAUACGGUCUGCAAACUAAAGCUUUUCCAUGUACAUCAGUUGCGGCUUGCGGUCGCCCCAGCUGUUCAAGAUACUUCUGUCUGUAUAUCUAGUAAACUCAUGAUACAUAUGCUCUUUGGUUAAGUUUCUCCAUUUAAACUAGUAACUGGCACUACACUAUGGAGCACAAGUCACGGCAAGUAAGCUGACGGCAAUUGGAACUGAAUGUAAACUUGCAAUCAUAGGAACUGGUAACUUCUUAUGUGGUUCCCAUGCACAUCAGCUGUUGUUGCCUCAGUCGUUCAACUACCUAUGCCUGGGUUUGUUAGUAUAGGAGUGAAUUCCAAUUUUGACCCCUAAGUUUCAGGGUUUUUUACAGUUUUGAUCCCAUUUAGCGAGAUUUACGAUUUUGACCCCAUUUAGCAAACGUUUUGCCACAAAUGACCCCAUUUAGAAACAUAUAUAUGCCCCAAUAAAUGGUAUAGUCACUCUCAGAAAUACAUUAGAAAUUCAGAAUUGUCAUGAACCAUUGCAUGUGGAGCGGAUGGAGAGCUAGAACUCUCACUUUAAAGAUACUAUUUCCCUAAAAAAUGAUUGGAAAAAUUAUAUCUAUUUCACAGGUCACCUUCGUUUUUAGCUAUUUCUCGGCUAAUGGCUGCGCUUGCUCACCGUUGACCUGCACCUGGUUACACCUCGCCGGCAUAGGUGCUGGGGUGGCCCGCUCCUUGGCUUGCCCCCACAGGAACGUGUAAAGCCCCAGGAUGAUGAGCAGCGUCCCCAGCACGCUGCAUUGCGCAUCAAUCACAACCGUUAGUUUUGGUUGUCACCAUGAGAAGACUUGAUGAAAGUCUAGGACCUAGGUGGCGAUUGACCUGCCGAGGUAGAUGUCGGUGCCGAGUAGGACGGAGUCCAUGGCGGUGGUGAGGAUAAGCGAGAGAGAGUUGAACAUGGUCGGAUAGGUCGGGCCACGCCGUGAUAUCGCCCACAAGUUGAGGACGUACAUGACGCCCGAGCCCAGCACUCCCUGAUCGAUGUUCAUCCAUCAAACACAUAAAGUAAGUUCAUCGUUAUCCGAGUUUACUUAUAAGUAGAGAUUAAUAAGGUGAACACAUCAAGUAAUAAUUAAAUAAUUACCGAGAAGAGAACCGUGAAAAGCUGCAGACCCCAUUCGAGCUUCCAAGCAGAUUUAUGAGGCGUCAUGACGAGCCCGAUUGCAACGGACUGCAGGCUCCCCGCCAGGCAUGUCAUCGUCGUGGCCAGGUACUUGGAACGGAACACCCUUGAGAGCCUAGCCUGCACACUGAAGCCCACCGCGUAGCUGAGGCAACUCCCGCACAGGAAGAGCGUGCCAAUGAUCAUGUGGCGAUGAGGACUCGCCGGUGCUGCAUUGGCAUGGUCAUGGGAUUUCAGCAGGUGGGUGGGCCAGAGAUGCAGUAGCUUCCAUUUAAACAAGCUCAAGAGCAUGGUGCCGCCGACGCACACCACUGCGCCCAUCAGCUUUAUCUUGGCAGGCCAGCUGUGGAAUGCCAACUUCUCGGCUCUGAAGAAAUUCAGUUGCGAUCAGCAUGUACAUGCAUGUCAUCAGUUGCAUCGGAUUGUGAUGAGCGCCUUAUUAGGGGAAUCGAUCAAUUAAUUAAUUACCGGAACACAAUGCCGACGAUGAAGGUGACGAUGGGCAGGAGGUUGAUGAUGUUGGCAGCGUAGGUGGCGGUAGUGUGACGCAAACCGUAGAACAACAGCCCGAGUGCUAAGGGAACUCUAUAUACGUACAUGAUUCAGGCAUAAAUUACUCUGAUCCUAGCAGUACUGCAACGGCACACAUCUUGUAAAAAAUUGUCAAUACUAAGUACUAACCGUACCCCAUUGUGGCGCUUAUGCAAAUCCAGCCCAACGCUACGAGGUUCGUUUUUUUAAACAUCUCCCUACAAUCAAGUAACAUAACUAGUGUAAAUACAAGGAAAUGACAGAUGAAAAAAGAUGGGCCGGAGGUACAAUUAACACAAGAAAUAAGGAACCUCUCGCAAAUGACGGCCAUGGGGGCGACGACUGCGGCACCGAUGAGGCUACGGUAUGUUAUGAGGACGAAGGGGGGCAUCCCGUCGUUGAGGGCAAGCUUGAAGAGCAGAACCAUGGCAGUCUUGAUGAACUGCGCCCCCAGCAUGCCCAGCGGCACCCCCACCCUGUCCAGCUGAUUGCCUUUGCCCCCGCGUCUCGCUCUCGCCACCGCCGCCGGAUCAUCCUUCACCGCCACGACCAAGUGCUUGUCCAUCUCCAUCUGCCGGUACGCACGUGUUUGCUGUUAUCGUAGCUCGCCUGGACUCGAACUUCCGCAGCGUUUUCUCUCCUUCCUUUUAUUUGGUCGUUACAACUCAACUGAAAAGCAUGAAAUCAGGAUCGGUGACGGUGAGCAAGGGCGGAGGACCCGGUAGGCACUAAUGCUUCACGUACACGCAACUUGCGGACUGUUACCGGCUGAGUAGGAAAAAAAAUCCUACGUGACGUUGAAGUAAAACAAAAACGAAAAAACUAAAUAAAAAGGCAGUUACGCUAAUUGGCGAAUCAAGAGGAGGACGGGAGCAAGGAUUGAUUGAAAUUUCCUCAACAAAAGGAUUUUUUUUUCGCAAUCAACAAGAGAAUUUUGUGUUUGCUAAUUCCACUCUUCAGUUCAAAUGAACUUCAUUACUAUCAUGUAAUAAUCUCUAAAUACUCAUCUUGUUUCAAUAAUGAAAUUGGGGUCUAGCUCCUUUUACUCGAAAAAACUCUUCACAGUUCAAAUUAGUACUAUAAUUAUUUUGUUCCAGUUUUGGUUUCGAUGUCAUCAUAUACAGUUUUUUAUCCUUAUAUUGGUAAAAUAUUCCUUGUUAGUUUUCGGAGUUGUGAAAUGUGGUUUGCAAAAAGUGACCAGACUUGGGCCAAAAGAACACCGCAGCUGGACCAAACAUGGGGUUCACCUGGACAUGAACAUGUCAGACUUGAGCCAAACCCGGUCAGUCCGACAUUGAAUGUUAAUGCGUGGUGGGCCAACCCGGGCGAGACACGAUGCUAUACGAAAAGCCUAACCUGCGUGUACUAAAAGGGAAUAGACGAACCUGGGCGGGACGAUGCCGAGACCGAUGGCAUUGAUACCCAGACCCCUAAAUCACAAGAUUUGACUUGAGUUUUCGCUUCUUUUCCCACUUCACCUUGUUUCCCAUCCCCACCCCAAACCAUCUAUGCGGCGACGAUUCUCUCGCUGGCCAUGUCCUUCUCCCCCUAGUGCCGCCGCUGACAACAACCACGGGCCAACGUCGUUCCUUUUCCCUCCACGACCCUCGCAUCUCUCUCUCUCUCCGCUAGUGUUGCUGCCGCAAGCAACCGCCGUCGUCGGCAAUCAUCUCUCCCAGCAUGUCCCUCCCUCUCAACGUGUGGGGCGCCAGCAAGUACAUGAGCAGGUAGAAGGCGCCGCCGACAAAGGCCAUUUGAGGUCUCAGAGUCUUCCCCGAUCCCCUCGGGUCUGACCUCUCCCCGUUCCUCCGACUUGGUGACUAGGGUGCCAAAUAUCUAUGGAUGUGUCCACAUCUGAAGUGCCUGAUUUUUUAAGCAAAAAAUUUCUUCUUAGUCGAUACUAUCAGAGCCACUCCAUUCUCUUUUGUUAUGAAUCUUAAAGAACAAUGUAGAUCCAACAGCUGAACAAUUAACUUAUCCCUAACUAAAGUCAUGUGACUUAGAUAUAGCAAAGUUGAAUAUCUAUUUUUUAAGUUUGUAAGUAUGUAGAUGUUUCUGGAAACAAAAAAUAUAUAAAAUAUAUAUAACUAUAUAUUUACUCUUAUAAAGAACUAAUUUGAUAAUCCACCUCCAUGUAUUUUAUCAUUCCGUAAAACAUUGGAUUAUUAGAAAGAUAUAGCAUUAAGAUUUGUACUUGCAUGAGUUCAGAUAGUAUAACCCGCUUGCGAGCAUUUCAAAUAUCAAAGUGGAUCCCAAAAAACAAAAAAAAAUUCACCCAUACAAUAUUGAAUGUAAAAACAAAAUAUUAUAAAAUAAUUAUUAAAAAAAUACAAACUAAACACAUUAGAAUGCAUUUUUGCAAUCAUAAAAUAAACAUUGAAUGUCAUAUGUCUGAUAUAUGAAUUUGCCUACCUCAUCGUAUUUUUGUGCUCCUCCUUUAUCGGUGAGUGCGACGUGAUCCCGUGUCAUCCCACGACCUAGCAUCAUGGCGCAGCGCACACGUAGCGACGAUGCCAAAUCGAAGCGGCACGCCACCAGCCGCAAACUUUGCCCGCAACAAAAUGGCCUUAUUGGCUCUCGCGGUCCGGUCGUUGAAAUCUGUGGCUUGUGUGGACAAACCCGCUUAGCCCGCGAUGCAAAAUCCAGUUGUAUGCUCACACGCAGGCAAGCUCAAGGCUGCGGCCACCUCCUCCUCCUUCCACCUCAAAUCAGAUUUCAGACGAAUUCACUAGACCACGCCUGAAGGACUUAUCUCCUUCAAAUCAACUUUCAGUUUGGAGUCUUGCAACUCAAGAAGCCAUUGUGCGGAUCCAGGAAAGAAGAGAAAACGAAGAACCAGGAAGAGAAGAAGAGGAAGAAACAGGAGGAGAAAGUUGGAAGAGGAGAGGAGAAGUUUUUUGCAAAGAAAUAAAAACGAUCCAACGAGGUGAUUCUUUAUAUCAUGGCACCAAUAAUCUGAAUUUUUGGUGUGAUUUUUCACUUAAUUUAGUGUUUACAAGUUUGGAAUUUUGCAUUUUCUAAUUCUGUAGGAACUAGGAAAUUUGGUGCAUUUUAGUAGUGUUUAAGUGUUCAGUUGAAGUUUCACUUUUGUGUAGGAAAUUAUCACAUCUAGCUAGAGGGCUGCCUUUUAUUGUAAAAAGAAAGUGACACCUGUUGUUUCUUCUCUUUACCAUUAUAUUGAAUCCAACAUUGGACGAUUGAAGGUUAUAUAUUGAUGGCUUUAUAAAGUUGAUCUGCAUAUCUUAUAACCUUCAAUGGUCCAAGUUGCCAGCUCCUUGUAUUCAGACUCCUUGUUAGUUCGUAGAAACCUACUUUGUCGUUGUAUUCAGACUUCUUGCCCUAUAAGUUGGGCUGACCACUUACUCUGUGUCUUGUCUGUUACUCCAUGAGAAAAAAGUUUAACUCCUUAUAUGCUCAGAGUACAACGUUUAGGGGCCUUGUUUUACUCCUAAACAUUGUAUAGGGGCUGCCCCUUAAAUUUUUUAACCCCUAUUUCACCUAAAGCUUAGAGGCCUAUACAACGUUGUAAAACAAGGCCCCUGUACCACUUACUCUGUGUCUUGUCUGUUACUCCACUCCAUGAAAGCUGUUGUUUUGGAGUCACAAGUUGGCUGGUCUCCUCUUUCUUUAUAUCCUCAGAAUUCAAACCUGAUGUUAAAUCAUGAAGCGUUGAGUUUUUGGUUUGGGAGCGUCGGAGUUAUUAUUUGAGUUACGACUAAAUUGUCUGUAAUUCUCUAAGCAUCCAAUUGCAAGUAACUAUACAGGCUGAAACCUGAUAUACCAUUCUUUAAAGUUAUGAGCAUUUCAUAGUUUCAGUAGUUUUCUAUGUACAUGUAGCAAGCUAGCAUUGAUAAUCAAGUGGGCAAGUUUAUGAUUCAUUCUCUAAAUCUAGUUGAAUUGGUAUCAACAAGAUCGGUAUCACCACUACAGAAUUGGUCACCGGUGGCAGGCCAAAUUCAGUACCAGUGGCGGUGGACUAGCCCGCCACUAAGCCUGCGCCACUGGUGCUAUGAAUCACCAGUGGCGGUGCACAGCACAGCCGCUAUCGUUUCUGGUGGCAGUCUGAUGCCACCGCCACUGGUGCUACCCGUUUCUGGUGGCUGGCCAAUGCCACCGCCACUGAUACCAAUUUGACGAUGCAAUACCGAAUCAAAACCGGAUUCUAUUAAUCGAGAAACCAGAACAAAACAUUCAAUUAAUCGACAAUACACAGAUGCAUCCAUUUGACACUUAGAGAGAUCUAUACAUCCAUCCAUCAAAACUUUAAUCUAGAAAUCAGAUCAUUACAGAGGAUACAAAGAAUUACAACACAAUUACAAAGAAACCAAAAAGGCAUCCAUCGAAACCAACACAAUUACAUAGAUGCAACAAUCCAUCCAUCCAUCCAUCCAUCUAAGGAAGAUUGGGCAGCCCUCCUCGUCUGCAAGAAAAGGAGAGAAAGAGGGGGAGGGUGAGAACGGAGAGAGAACUGAGAGAGGGGAGAGACUUACCAGUGACGGAGGGGCCGUGGCGGUGGUGGCAUGGAGGGGCCGGAUCCGCCGUCGUAGGGGCUGAGGCGGCCGGAUCCGGGGCCGGGGGACAGGAGGGGCUCGGGGAGAAGAAGCCGGGACCGCGUGCGCAAUAUCCGAUGGAGAUGGGGCUGAGGGUGACAGGAUCUGGUGGAGACGGAGCUGAGGGCACCUGGAUCCAGCAGAGGACGACGUCGACGGUGCCAGGCUGGGAGGAGGAGGCCGGGACCGCCUGCACCACCAUGGUGGCGGGAGGAGGUGAGGAGGCGGUGGCCUGCUUCGGCUUGGUGGGGGGGGAGGCAAGGAGGCGGUGGGGCUCCGGCUUGGUGGCGCAGGGAGAGACUAGAAAGUUGGAAGGAGAGGAGAGGAGGAGAACGGGAGAGAGUCAUGGAGAGGAAAUCGAGAAGGAUAGGGAGAGAAUAGAAUCGUGGAGAAAGAAAUUGGUGUGGGCCAGUCGAUCCGAUGCAUGCGCGCUCCACCAAUCGGGUUCUUUCGGUGUGGGCCAGUCGAUCCCGUGCAUGUGUGCUCCACCAAUCGAGGGGAAGCAUCCGGAUCGUGUGCUUGUUUGGCAUAGGAAAAACAUCCACCCGCAUGUCUCCAGUGGCGGGUUCUAUAGCAAAACAUCCAUUAGAAGUGUUUAAAAUUUGUGUAGUUUUUAUUUUUUAUACAAUAUACUUGUAUUUUGGAUUGUACCCAGACUGGUUUAUAAGUCUGUAAAUAAGGUCAAUCUUGUGUGAAAAUUGGGUGCCAUUUUGAUGCAUAUUACUUGUACUUGCUUCAAAAAAUACUCUGUUUUUUGCAUUUAUAAAAUGGAAAUAAUAUUUUAUGACUAAAAAGUUGUAAACCUCUUUAGCAAUAUUGUUUAGCAUGGCAAGAGGCACCUCUAUGCAAAAAAUGGAUGCAAAAUCAUGAAUUAUAGCAUAGAAAUGGUUGUGACUUUGGUCAUUUGGUUUGAAAGCCAUAAACAUUCAUACCUGAUAGUCCAUUUUGUGAAAGAUUUUUUGAAAAUUUGUCAAAAUUCAAGUUUCUCAUUUUUCAUGGCAACUAGUAAAAAGGACUCCCUGCCAAGAAUGGACUUUUUUGACAUUUUCUUCAUAUUUUUUGAAUUUUUGCAAGAUGAGGUGAAAAUUGUCGGCACAUCUUUCCAUAGCAAGGUGUUGAAUAUUUUAACACCCUUUGUGAAUCUUACCUAAUCAUUACUUGGAUACCUUAAGUUGAUUUUUUGAAUUUUUUAGGAACAAACUAUCGCACACUUCGGUUCAAAUUUGAAUUACUUUUGGGAAAUGGGUAGAAAUUCAUUUAAAUGGGGAAAAAUAUUAACAAAGUUAGAAAAUUCAAAACUUUUUACACAACCAAUUAAAUAUGUUCUAGUUUGUGAGAAAAUUGUAUAGGUGCCAUUGCGAACCAUAAAAAUUCUACUUGUUUCACAAAUUACUUCAUUUUUUGCAUUCAAAAAAUGGAAAAUCAUUUUCUCUAAGAAACAUGAUGUGAUAUUAUUGUUCCAAAAUGUUAAGGCAUAGAGAUCAAGACUUCAGCAAAAAGAAUCACAUCGUUCCAAUUUUUUAUGAAUUAGUUAUGAUUUUUGCAAGUUUCAGCGGUCUCCGAGAGGGUCAGCAGUGGCCGGUCUUUGGCUAACAAACCAGUCACUGGUGACCCCAGCAAUGGCGGGCUGAAAUAGUCAACCACUGUUGGGAGUCACCAAUGGUUGUUUCCAGGAACGGCCACUGUUGGGGGUUCACUAGUGCCCAUGGACGCGCACCGCGCUGUGGCUGCCCACCGCCACUGGUGGAGCACGAGUGGCCGUGAUUUUUUUGCCCCGCUCGAAUAGCCACUGAAGAUCGUGCGCCAGUGCUACAUUCUGGCGUAGUGUAUAUUUGAUAUUUGAUUUAUCAUAUCUAAAUGUUUUGCGCACCUUAUAUAUUUGAUACUCCCUCAGAUCCACAAUAAAUGUCUCAGAUUUACUACAACUUGAUACUAAGUUAGUACAAAAUCUAAUACACUUAUUAUGGAUCGGAGUGAGGAUUUGAUUUAUCAUAUUUUAAAUGUUUUGCGUACCUGUGAAGGGUGGACACGAGCCUGGCGAGCCGUUUGGUCGGCUCGGUCAACUCGCGAGCUGGCAGUGGCCGGGCAACAGCAGUGUCAGUGACCGGGCAACAGCAGUGGCAGUGGCAGGGCAGCAGCAGAAGGCAGCGGCAGGCCGGCAG